Molecule: long non-coding RNA, 71363 nt
Filed under: Durio zibethinus
Lineage: Eukaryota; Viridiplantae; Streptophyta; Magnoliopsida; Malvales; Malvaceae
Description: long non-coding RNA (DZIB_LNC001565)
Source: RNAcentral
ACCUUGAAGAUCUAUCUUUGGCUGGACUUAGAAAACAGUUACCUUCUAAGUCUUGGUUCUCAUACUUUUCUUCAUGGAUCUCACCAAAAAGUAGUGUGGGUUCUUCUUCUUUACUGCUACCAGCAACGUUCUCUCAGUUAAGCUCAUUAAGAGAGCUUAAUCUUUGUGACCUCAACUUGUCUGACCAUGAAAUUUCCAUUGACUUUGGGAGUUUCCAUUUUUUGAGGAGUUUGGAUUUACGGGGAAACAACUUCUGUAACUUACCCGCAGGAAUCAGCAACCAUCCAAGGAUAGGGAGACUUGUAUUGAAUAACUGCAAAAACCUUCGAUCCCUUGCAGAGCUUCCUAAAAAUUUAUGGACUUUAGAAUCAAAGCUUGGCACAUCAAUUGAGAGAUACCCAAACUUAUCAAACAUAGGUAAAAAUCUUUAUAAAAUCGCAAAUAGUAAUUGUCGCGAAGUAGCUGACAUUCAAGGUUGGGAUUUUCGCUCAUUUCAUCAAUUUUCUUUUAGUUGGAAUCUUGGACCAGAUCUUUACCAGCCAAAGGUUUUUCUCUAUCUCUCUCUGUAUACAUAUAAUAUAUAUUAUCAUGCAUGAUAAUGUUCAUAACUAUUAGUAUUUCUUUGAAACAGAAGUGGUUGUAUUCCAAGUUGAAGUUUUUGGAAGGUUACUUCCCGGUUAGAGAGGUGCCAGAUUGGUUCGACUAUAAAGAAAUUGGAUCUUCAAUACCGUUUUGUAUGCCUUCAAUCCCGAUUGGUUCAGAUCGAGGUAUGAUUGUGUGCGCAAUCUAUUCGGUCAAUGAAGAAUGUAAUGACGAAAGCACUUCUGAAGUUUCUCUUACCAUAUAUUUUAAGAAUAAAACAAAGGGCUGUGAGACUUUUGUUAGGUCACAUAGUUCCCUCGAUGGGAAUAUAUGUCAAGAUCAUGCGUGGGUGAGUUACAUGGCACCUAGUUUUUUUAUCGAUGAUGAAAACAAUUUUAUCUAUGUUGUAAACGCUGAAGAAGGAGAUGAAAUUGAAGUUUCAAUUGAGCCGCAAGGUGGAAUUUUUGUGAAGAAAUUUGGUGUUCAUCUGCGAAUUCAUGGGUAGAUGGGGUUAAGUUUUAAGAGCCUUCAUUGUUAAGACCAUUAUUAAUUUAAUUAGUUGUCAAUAUCAUAAUAGAGAAAUGAUGUGACCUGUUUCGUUUCGCAAAUUAAGCACACUUGGGUUAGUUUUGCUUUUCAUUUUGUCGUUUAUGCUUCGGCUUCUGAUUCUACAUUUGUGUUCUCAUUAGCUUUCAAUUCAACAGCUCCCAUCUGUUUUCCUACACGUGGAGGUACAAAGAAAGAAAGAGAUUUGGAUCUUGAAUCUUAAUUUUUUAAAUGAAUUGCUAGGUUUUUUUAACUCAAAUUUAUUUCAGUAAAGUUGUUUAGUAACAUUUCUAUUUUGUUAAAUUCAUUUAAGGUUUUUUUUUAUUGUCUAUAAAUAUAUGAUUAUGUUUAUAAAGUUAAGAAUAUUGUUUCGUGAGAUACUGAUAAGCUAUUAUUAUACAUAAAAUCAUGUUUAUUGACAUAUUUUUCUGUUAAAAAGUUAGCUACUAUCUACUAAUUUAUCAUUUUUAAAAUGAUUAUCAAAUACAAUAUAAAUAAAAUAAAUUAAUUUCAAAAGGUAAUAAUUGAUGCAACAACAUAAUUAUAUGCACCUCAUAUGAAAUUAAGAAUAUAUAAAACAAAAAAAUCUGCUUAAUUUUUCUCCAUGAAAAAAUAUAAUUAUAUGUUUUUAUUUAGUUAUUGAUUUUUUUUUGGCAUUAAAUUCAGAAUUUAAAUCUUUGCAAAUGAGUAUAAAAUUUUCUUUAUAGCAUGAUUUUAGACAAUUGCAAUAUUCAUCACUACCCAAUAUGCAUGGUACCUUUUACUUGAAAUAUUCAAACUUGCCACUGACAAUCAUUGACCGUAUUAUUACCACAAACAAUCUCUUCCAUGUAGCAAUAAUUUUGUGGUUUCUAUAGUUUCAUAUAAUAAAUUUUUUAAUUUAAAAUUUUAAGUUUUGAUUAAAAAAAAUAUGAAAUAUGCACUAAUAAAGUCCACAAUUAUAUAGUAAAAAAUUAAAGAAUUUUGAAAUAUUGCUUGUAAAAAAAGUAUAAAAAACUAAUUUUAAGUGAAAGAAAUUUCAAUUAUUUGGAUUCAAGCAAUAUUUUAAUUUUUAUAAAUAUCACUAUUAAAUGAGAAAUGAUAAAAAAAGUCUUUAUUUAAACUUUUUUUAUAAAGAAUCAAAAUAGAAAAUCAAACUUAUUUGUAUUGUCUGCUUCUGAACCUUAUGCAUAGAAGACUAACCGAAACAAUAAUGCAGCUAUUUGGCAUGCAAGAUUAGGCCAUGUUGGAUAUCAGUAAUAGAAGGAAAUCGCGUCCAAGCAGAUGGUUGAUGGCGUUCCUAUUCUGAAAAGCAUACCUCUAGACUUAGUUUGCCAAGGAUGUCAAUUUUGCAAAUCUCAACGCUUGUCUUUCAAUACAUCGCAAAAUCAAAGAUCAAAAUCUUUUGAUUUGAUUCAUUGGACUUGAUAGGACCAACCAAAACAUCAAGUUACAGCAAUUAUCACUACAUGAUGAUUUUUGUUGAUUAUUUUUCCAGGUUUGCUUGGGUGUAUUUUCUGAAGCAGAUGAUGAGGCUUUCGACAAGUUUCUUGGGUUCAAGAAGCAAGUUGAGAAGGAACUUGAUGUUCAGAGCAAGUGCCUAGGAACAAACAAUGGGCUUGAGUACACGGAAACAGACUUUCUUAAGUUUUGUGGAGAGAAUGGGAUUCAAAAGUAAAUAACAUGUUGAAAGACUCCUCAACAAAAUGGAGUUGCUGAAAGAAAACUUGCACAUCUCUCAAAGCAAGUUUGUUAUGGAUACAUAACAAGAAUCUCCCUCGAAAAUUGUGGGUUAAAGCUAGCAGUUGCUCAUGUCAUGUAGUGAACUAUUUACCUCCGAGGCAACGCAACCAAUCUCCCUUUCAGCUUUUAUACGAUAAGAAGCCAAAUGUGAGUUACUUGCGAGUUUUGGGUUCAGUUUGUUAUGCUUUUGUUUCAAAAAGUGACAGAACAAAACUAGAUCCAAAUGCAAAAAGGCGUGUUUCUGCCAGUUAUGAUCAGCAUCAGAAGGAUUGGAGGUGCAUGAUCUAGAAACCAAGAAGUUCACUACCUCUCGAAAUGUGGUAUUUGAUGAUGUUUCACUUUCCUGUAAAACCUUAGAAAAGAUUGAGUCAAACAUCAAAGUUAAUGAAUUUGCAAAGUUUAAACCAAGCCUACAUGACGACUUUUUCAAUCAUGAAGAAUUCUAAGAGUCUAGAGAAAGGGGGAGCAGCAAAGAAAAAGGCUGCAACAACAAAUUUGAAAGUCAACAAUAGGAACAAGAAAGAGAUGAUCAGAUUACGGUCUAGCCGAGAAAGAAAGCAACCAGCUUGGCAAAAAGACUAUAAAGUCCAAGCAAAUAGGCCCACUAUAACUCAAUGCUGUUUUAUAGGUCCAAUUGACUCUCGUGAACCUUCAUGCUUUGAAAAGGCUGGAAGGCACCUAAGAUGGGAAGUAGCAAUGCGAGAGAAAAUUUCAGCACUCAUAAAGAAUAAUACAUGGGAGAUUGUGCCAAAGCCCAAUGAGGCAAUGACAUUGAACCAGUAACAUGCAAAUGGGUUUACAAGUUUAAGACAAAGGUGGAAGGAUCAGUGGAUCGAUACAAAGCACUGUUGGUUCCUCGAGAUUUCUCUCAACAUUAUGGACAGGAUUAUAAAGAGACAUUUAGCUCAGUUGCCAAGAUGACAACCGUCAGAUCUCUCAUCUCUUUGGCUGCCCAUAAGGGGUGGAAUUUCUGGCAAACAUCAAAAAUGCAUUUCUUUAUAGAGAAUUAGAUAGAGAAGCGUUUAUGAAUCAAACGCACGGUUUUGUCUCUAAGGAAUUUCCUCACUAUGUUUUCCAGCUUAAGAAAGGUUUAUAUGGCCUACGUAUGGAAAAAUCUCUGAAUACUUAAUCCUUUGUGGGUUCGAAGUUCUUGGCUCUGACUCAAGUAUAUUUGUCAAGAAAAAUUUUGAGAUGCAUUUGUUGUUUCUUUUAUAUGUUGAUGACAUGAUUAUUCCAGGAGAUAAUUAUGUUAAAAUCAAUACUUUAUGUGAUGAAUUGGCGAUUCGAUUUGAGAUGAAGAAUCUGGGAAAAGCUGGAUGUUUUCUUGGAUUGGAGGUUGAGGAAUUGGAAAGUGGUUUAUUCUAUAUGUUUAAAACUUACUGGAACAUGUUUCAAUGGGAGAUGCAAAGCCAAAAGGGACUCCCAUGCAACCGCAAAUCAAGUUAAAAAGGGAUGAAGCAAGAUCAAUAGUAGGCAUGCACAAGUUUCGCCAACUUGUUGGUAGUUUGAUUUAUCUGAAUAUAACAAUACCCGAUUUGUCUUUCUUUGUAGCUCUUAUCUCUUAGUUCAUGGAAUGUCCUCUCAAGUCUCUCUUAUUCAUACCGGAAAAAGAAUUUUAAGAUAUGUAAAGAGUAUUGAGGAUCACUACAACUCUGAUACCAUUUGUUAGGCAAAAAAAUCACAAUCCAAUCAAGCCAACAGAAGUAAAAUCAAACAAUCAAUCAAUCACAUAAGAGACAAAAAUUUAAUGUGGUUUAGUCCAACCGACCUUCAUCCACGGAUGAGAAGUAAGAUCCACUAGCUAUAGAGAAUUAUAAAUAUAUAUCAAAUCAAAUCAAUCUCACUCAACAAUCAAAACCUAUAGACUCUUUUAAUCUCUUUUGGUCUAACGGAGUAUUUUCAACUCAAAUAAACACAAAUCCAUGUGCACCUUUUCAACGCAAACAAACAUAUACCUAUAUGUACCCAUUAAUCAUACCUAUGUGAACCAUCUCAAUCUCUUCUAGUCCACUCUCAAACAAUCAAACAUACUCAGCCAUAAGAUGUAAAUCCCCGGUACUCCUAUGAGGUGUCUAUACUACAAAACCUUACAACUCUCUUACGUCUUUUUCUCAUACCUAACCCUAUAAAAACUUUACAUAUUUAUAACCAUACAAACUUGCCUAUUAAGAAUCCAUUUCCUUUUAGAAUUCUUAUUCUGUAAGUUUUCUUGUCCAUCAAAUAAUAUCUAACAAAUUUCAAACAAAUCUCUUAUGGGAUUUAGGUCACUAUUUCCUAACAAAUAGCACUCUUGAGUUUGGAAUGCUAUACAAGAAGAAUGGAAACUUUUUAUUAAGUGACUUUGUGGAUUCUAAUUGGGCAAGUAAUGUCGAAGAUAGAAGAUCAAAAACUGGCUACUGUUUUAAUAUGGGAUCGGCUGCAAUUUCAUGGUGUAGCAAGAAGCAAGCAAACGUUGCUUUGUCUAGUACCAAAGCAGGAUGGUGCUGCAACAAUGGCUGCACAAGAAGGAGCUUGGUUGAAAUAGUUAAUAACUAACAUCUACAAGAAAGUGGAGUAUCCCAUUACUUUGAGCUGUGACAAUCAAAGCGCAAUCAAGUUAGCAUCAAAUCCAAUAUUUCAUGCUCAAACAAAGCACAUAAAGGUUCAACACCAUUUCAUUCAAGAGACAAUUAUUGGAGAAGAGUUUAAGUUAAAGAAAAAUUAGAAAAAGUGAUCAAGUUGCUGAUGUCUUCACCAAAGCACUCACAAAGCCGAAGUUAGAGCUCUUUCGUGAAGCGAAAGCAUGCACUAAGGGGGAGUGUUAAAGUUUAGUGCAUAUUGUGUCAUUUUUAAUUAUACUUAGAUUAAUGCAUUUGUUUUGGUAGAGUUCAUUUAGAUUUAGUAAAGUCAAGGUUGUUAAAGACCCUUUUAGAAGGACAUCAUGGCCCACUUAAGAGUAGAUUUCUUAAGAGUAGCUAACAUUUCUCAAAUUCUACAUAUUUAUAGACUUUCAUGAAUCGAUUUUUUCAAAGCUAUCCACUUCAUGAGGACGUCAAGGAUUUUGAUUCUGUGCUUAGUAUAACAAAUUGGGUUUUGAUCAAAAGAAAAAAAAUAUAUAUAUAGAAUCGUAGAAGGGACGAAAAGUUCUUUUAUCCAUUCUUAUUGUCUUUUUGAGUGACAAGGAAAUAAUAUCAUUAAAUGCUAUUCUACCUUAUUUAUUUGAACUAUUUUCUAUUGUCCCUUUCUUGUAUUGUAAGGUUUGGAUUUUAAUGUCAUAAUUAACUAAAAUCAGCAGAAUAUUAUAAUCUAAAUCAAGGGAGUAUGGCAUUAUCAACUGUUGAGGUAAAACUAUUCUUAAAAAAAAUUCAUAGAUUUAAAUAUAAUAAAAAAUAAUAUCUUUUUUUUUGUAUUUUUAAAAACCAAAAUUUUCAUGUUUCAAAAGUAAAAAAAAAAAAAAGAGAUUAAUGGAAUAACACAUAUCUCUUAAGCCUUAAGGUAUAAUAAAAAAUAUUAAAAAAAACAGGUAAUAGUCUUUUUAAUCUAGCUUGUAAAAUUAAAAAUUAUACCAUCAAAAACGAACUCUUAUUCUUAGGUGAUUAGAACUUUGAUCUUGUAGGAUUGUUACUUCUUUGAUUAGAGUGAAAUAUUCUCUCAUUCUCUCUAUUCGUGGAUAUAGACUUUUGUUUAUGAAUAGCACUUUCUUUUAUGUGCUUGAUAUCUUUACUUUGAAUUUAAUUAGUUGCAUUAUGUUGAUCUGUUUAGACGCCAACAUUUCAACAAGUGCAAAAAUACAAUAGGUCAUCUUCAAAUGAGUAUAAAUGGAAUUUGUUGUUUUAUAUGCAUUAGUUGUCAAUGGAUUCUAAAUUUAACUAGGUAAAAAAUAAUUAAAAGGAAAAAUAUGAGAAGAUUGGAUUAAAAAUCUUGGUAGAGUUGCAGAGCUUCCCUCUGAUUCGAGCCCUAUUCCUGCUUACUACAUCCCAUGCUUUGAAUAAAAUUCUCAUUUAAGAUAAAAAGAUUCUUGCUAGUGAAGUAUAGGACUUUUAGUUUCACUGAGCAUAAAUCAAAUCCUGAGAGCCUCGUUUGCAAAAAUAAAUAAAUAACAACUUGGUUUUGUUUGACAAUAUUCUCAAAUUGCCUGUUAUCAGCAUGGUCCUAUAUCAGUUGAAAUUGUAUCUCAAAUUUUAUAUCAGCCUCAUUUGGCUUGAAAGUUUAUUUGAUUAGCUAUUGACAUAGUUUCUAAUUUUUAAUUAUGAACGAUAAAAUCGAAUAAUUAACCUGUAGACUCAAUUAUAAAAAAUCUUAAAGCUGUUUUCAAUUUUAACGCUCCAAUGAAUUUCUUUGAUCUAUCCUAUUCAUUUGGUGAUUUUGGGAUAACAUUUUCUAGGAAACUUUCGUAGAAAGAGUAACAAUCCAAAAAUAAAAUAUAAUAGUAAAUUACAAUAGUGAAUAAUUUUUUCUUUAUUUAUGUUCAAAAUAAAAAAAAAUAACAACUUGUUUUUUUUUUUAUAUUAUUCUCACAUUACUUCUUAUCAGGCUGAUCCUAUAUUAGUUGAAAUUGAAUCUCAAAUUUGAAAUCCGUCUCAUAUGGCAUAAAAAUUUAUUUGUAGUUGUGAACGAUAGAAUCGAAUAAUUAUCCUAUAGAUUUCACUAUGUAAGAUCAUUACUCAAUUAAAAAGAUUUGAAAGUUGUUUUUAAUUUCCGUCUCUCAAAUGAAUUUCUUUGGUCUGUUUAAAUCAUAUGGUGAUUUUGUGAUAAAAUUUUUUUGGGGGAGCUUCGUAGAAAGAGUAACAAUCCAAAAAUAAAAUAUAAUAAACGAGAAUAGUGUAACAAUUAGGUUGCUUUUACUUUUUGUUGUGUGUGUGUGUGUUUUUUUUUCCAAAGAGAAUGAAAAUGAGACAACAAAUAACAAAUUUUGAAUAGAAAACAAAUAACAAAAAGCAAAAUCGUUUGAUAAAUGAAGCUUAAUUUUUUCACAAUGAUUUCACCAUAUAAUACAGACACUAUAAAGCAUAGAUUUAUAGUUCGAAUGUCCAAAGUUGCUAAGAACUUUGAUAAUUUUGUCAUCUCAACAAACAAGUUUGUUCCUAAAUAAUAGUACAAACAUGAGUCCAUAAGGUGUGUAAAAAACUUUUUCAUCAUUUAAUUUUUAAAUAGAUGUAUCACAAUCAUAUAAAUCCAUUUGAUAAGUUUAAAAAAACUUUAAUAUAGUCUAUAUAUAGAAAAAUAAUUCUGAAAAAUUAAUAAAAAUUUGAUUGAUCAAAUACAACAUUAGGAUUGAUAAAAAUGUAUUUACGGAAAAAAACUAUCCUAUACGCAUUGCAGUUUUUAGAUUUCGUAAAUGAGAAUAAAAGAUUGAAAAGUGUCUCAUUAGAGUAUUUAUAUCAAUGUUUUGACCUAUUUCUGAAGUUGAAAUUUUUUUUCUAGCGAUAGCAAUGUAUAGAAUAAUUUUUAUAUAUGAUCAUGGAUAUUGGUGAAACUUUUUAUGUACUAAAAUAAAAAUUAUAUUUACAAUAUUUUAAAUAUUUCUUCUUCUAAAUAUUAAUGAGAUUUUAAUUUGUAAACAAGAGUUAUUGUUUUCAUAAAAUUUUAUUAUUAAAUGAAUUUAUUUGACAAAUAAAUAGUUAAUGUUAAUAUGAAAUUUCUUUAUCCUUAUAGUUCCAAAUAUACAUUAACGUUAAUUUAAUAUAUUUUGUACAUAAAACAAACUUCACAUAUUAAAAGGCAUUUGAUGAAUUUUAACUAUUUAUACAAUAGGCAAUUACAUGUUCAACAUAUAACAAUUAUUUAAAAAUAAAAUAAUAUAAAUAUUCAAAUUUAAUGAAUGUAACAAAAAUACUAAUGACGGAAAAAAAAACCAAAAUAAAAGAAAAACGUGUCUUUGGAGCUAAAUUCUAAUAUAAAUUAUUCUUGCUAUCAUAUUUACAGUAGAGAUGCAUGGAAUCUAUAUUUUUAUAUAUAUUGUGAAUGCAUUUGGAUCACUUUAUUAUAUAUAUAUAUAUAUAAUUAUUUAAGUUAAUUUGAAUAGUAAGGAUUAGUAAUGACCCUUAUAUUGUAAUUAUGUACUAAGUUUCCAAAAAAAGUUUUCUCCAGUGCAUUUUUUUGUUUGACUUUCCAUGGCUGCCAAAGGUUUCUCUGAAGCAUCUUCACCUCGCUUUAAAUGGAACCAUGAUGUCUUUUUAAGUUUUAAAGGCGAAGACACUCGGAAGAACUUCACAGAUCAUCUCUACACAGCUUUGGUGAGAGAUGGGGUGAUUACCUUCAGAGAUGACGAUGAACUUCCCAGGGGAAAAGACAUCUCCUCGGAGCUCCUCAAAGCAAUCGAAGAAUCACAACUUUCUAUCGUGGUUUUCUCUAAAAACUAUGCUUCUUCCAGGUGGUGUCUUGAUGAGCUUGUCAAGAUUAUUGAGUGCAAAAACACAACAGGCCAGGUUGUUAUUCCAGUCUUCUACGAUGUUGAUCCGUCUGAUGUCCGGAAACAGAUGGGAAGUUAUGAAGAAGCUUUUGCUCAACACGAAGAACGGUUUAAAGAUAAGAUGGAAAGGAUUAAAAAGUGGAGAAAAGCUCUAACAGAAGCCGGAAAUUUAUCCGGCUGGGACCUUCGAAACAUGACAAAUGGGUAAUAUUUAAUUUUUAAGAUGAAUCAUCCAAAAAAUUCUAAAAUAUAUAUGUAUAUGUACAUCUUCGUUUUUAAAUAAAAAAAUUAAAUGAAACUAAUUUUAAUUGCUAGUUAGUGCUAUUAAAAUUAUUAUAUGCGCCUAAUUUUAAAUUAUUGUAGUCCAUUUAUAUCUUAGUAUAAAUUGUUUUUUAUGUUUGAUGAUUUAAACCUUAAAAUUAAGAGUAGAAAUUCUACACAAUCUAUAUAUACUUGAAAAAUGUCUAAUUUAUUUUUGUUGUAGAGUUGUUUGUUUGAAGUGUAUAAUGACAAUAUAUCAUAUAUAAUUAUUGUAAUAUAAUUAAUCAAUUAUAAUUUAGUUUUAGUAUUAUGAAGUGUCCAUCAAAAAAUUAUUUAAACCUCAUUUUAAGUGAUGAACUCUUAGAUAAUUUUUUAUUAUAAUUAAUUAAUUGUAAUAUUGUAAUAAAGAGAAUUAUAAAAAUUAAAUAAUCAAAAGUGGGUGUUUAUUGAUAAUCGAAUUUUCUUGUGCUCUUCUUCUGUUGUUUCAUCCCAAAUAAUUUCACAGGUAUGAAUCGAGAUUCAUCCAAAAGAUUGUCAAUGAUGUUAUCAGAAAAUUAAAACGCAAUGACUUGCACGUCGCCACUCACCCAGUAGCUCUAGAAUCACGUGUUGAAUGGGUGAUGAGAUUAUUAGAUAUUGGAUCUGAAGAAGUUUGGGUAGUGGGCAUCUAUGGAAUGAGUGGGAUAGGUAAGACCACCAUCGCAAAAGCUGUCUACAACCUAAUGGUCUGUGAAGGAUUUGAAGGAUGCAGUUUCCUUUCAAAUAUUAAAGAUGACUCGCAGCAACCUAAUGGUCUUGCUAGGAUGCAAGAGAAGCUCCUUUCUGAUAUCUUGAAUGGGCAAAAAUUCAAGAUAGAUAAUAUUGACAGGGGUGUCAAUUUAAUCAAGGAGAGGCUUUGUUGUUUUUAUAGUUCUUGAUGACUUGGAUGAGUCAGUGCAAUGGAGACCAUUAGUUGGUGAUCGGAAGUGGUUCGGUCGAGGAAGUAGGAUUCUCGUCACAACUAGAGAUGAACGUUUGCUGACUGAAUUAGAGGUGGAUAAAAGUUAUAAGGUUGAACAAUUGAAUCAUGAGGAGUCAAUUCAGCUUUUAAGUUGGUAUGCAUUUAGGAGGCCUGCUCCAGAAAAUGAUUACUUCGAACUUUCCAACAGUUUGGUGGAGCAUGCUCAAGGACUCCCCUUAGCUCUUGAAAUUUUUGGUUCUUCUUUGUUUAAAAGAAGCCUACCAGAAUGGGAAAGUUUUGUGGAAAAAUUACAAAAGGCACCUCACCAACAAAUUCAAAAGAAGCUUAGGAUAAGCUUUGACACACUAGAUGAUGAUUUAUGGAAAGCCACAUUUCUUGAUAUUGCAUGUUUUUAUGUUGGGAUGAAUAAAGAUUAUGUGAUGACAAUACUAGAUGGUUGUGGAUUCUUUCCAAAAAUUGGUAUUAAAGUUCUUCUUGAAAGGUCUCUUUUAGCAGUUGACCCACAGGAUCAAAAGCUGCAAAUGCAUAACCUACUACGAGACAUGGGAAGAAGGAUUGUUCAUGAAGAAUCACCAUCUCACCCUGGAUAUCGAAGUAGGCUUUGGUUUCAUCGGGAUGUUGUAGAUGUAUUAACGAAACACAUGGUAAAAAGUUAAAUGCGCUUUUUAAAUAGAUCUAAAAAUGCACUAAAUGCUAUACUUAACUAGAAUUAAUAAUAGUUUUUCUUUGUAUUUAGGGGAUGGAAGCUGUGGAAGGUCUCAGCUUAGAUGUACCAACACUAGAAGAUGACCUGCCAAGCACCGAAGCAUUUGCAAAGAUGAUCAACUUAAGAUUGCUGAAAAUCGAUUCUGUACAUUUCACUGGUUCCUAUGAAAAAUUUUCUAGAAAAUUAAGAUGGCUCUGGUGGCAUCGAUGUCCACUAAUGGUUUUACCGCCCAACCUUCAUCUAGACAACUUGGUUGUUCUUGAAAUGCAACACAGUAGUAUCAAAAAAGUUUGGAAGGAGACAAAAGUAAUAAUAUCACUCGCAAUGCUAUGUGUUUUCUUUUUAUUUUGAUAUUUUAGAUUUUUUUUCUUAGCGCAUAUUAUGGAUUUUUUGUUAUCUUCUUUUUCUUGUUUCAACAGGCUCUUCACAAGCUUAAAAUACUAGAUCUGAGUUAUUCGGUAUACCUUGGAGAGACACCAAACUUUGCAAGACUCUCAAGCCUACAAAGACUUGAACUUGAAGGUUGCACAGGUUUAGUUGGGGUUGAUCAAUCUAUCGGACAUCUGGAAAAACUUGAAUUCUUGAAUUUGGCAGAGUGCAAGAACAUAAGUGAACUUCCAGACAGCAUUUGCAACUCAGGGUCUCUUGAGACAAUGAACCUCAAUGGCUGCUCAAAACUUUGUAGUUUGCCAGAGCAUUUGGGCAAAUUGGAAGCUUUGAGAAAGCUUGUUUUAAGUGGAUCUGCUAUUACACAGUUGCCUACUUCGAUCGGACUUUUGAAGAACCUUGAAGAUCUAUCUUUGGCUGGACUUAGAAAAGAGUUAGCUUCUAAGUCUUGGUUCUCAUACUUUUCCUCAUGGAUCUCACCAAAAAGUAGUGUGGGUUCUUCUUCUUUACUGCGACCAGCAACGUUCUCUCAGUUAAGCUCAUUAAGAGAGCUUAAUCUUUGUGACCUCAACUUGUCUGACCAUGAAAUUUCCAUUGACUUUGGGAGCUUCCAUUUUUUGAGGAGUUUGAAAUUAGGGGGAAACAACUUCUGUAACCUACCCGCAGGAAUCAGCAACCAUCCAAGGUUAGAGAGCCUUGUAUUGAAUAACUGCAAAAACCUUAGAUCCAUUACAGAGCUUCCUAAAAAUUUAUGGAUCUUAGAAGCAAAGCAAUGCACAUCAAUUGAGAGAUACCCAAACUUAUCAAACAUAGGUGAUCGUUUUGAUAGUAUCUGAAUUAGUAAUUGUUGCAAAGUAGUUGACAUUCGACGGUGGGAGUUUUACCCAAUUCAUCGAUGUUGUUUUAAUUGGAUAGAACCAGAUCUUAAUAACCCAAAGGUCUUUCUCUAUCUCUCUGUACAUACAUAUAAUGUAUAUAAUCAUGCAUGAUAACGUUCAUAACUAGUAGUAUUUCUUUGAAACAGAAGUCGUUUACUUCCAAGUACAAGUGUUUGGAAGCUCACUUCCCAGCAAGAGAGGUGCCAGAUUGGUUCGACUAUAAAGAAAUUGGAUCUUCAAUACUGGUUUGUAUGCCUUCAAUCCCGAUUGGUUUAGAUCGAGGUAUGAUUGUGUGCGCAAUCUAUUCGGUCAAUGAAGAAUGUAAUGGCGAAAGCACUUCUGAAGUUUCUCUUACCAUAUAUUUUAAGAAUAAAACAAAGGGCUGUGAGGAUUUUGUUAGGUCACAUGGUUCCCUCGAUGGGAAUAUAUGUCAAGAUCAUGCGUGGGUGAGUUACGUGACACCUAAUUUUUUUAUUGAUGAUGAAAACAAUUUUAUCUACGCUGUAAACUUUGACGAAGGAGAUGAAAUUGACGUUUCAAUUGAGCCGCAUGGUGGAAUUUUUGUGAAGAAAUUUGGUAUUCAUCCGCAAAUUCAUGGGUAGAUGGGGUUAAGUUUUAAGAGCCUUCAUUGUUGAGACCAAUAUUAAUUUUAUUAGUUGUCAAUAUCAUAAUAGAGAAAUAUUUUCAGAAAUAAAUUACAUCUUAAAGAUUUAUUUGCAUGAUUACUAAGAAGUCAAUGAUUGAAUGAUAGUCUAAUUAUAUAUAUUGAAAAAAAUAUGUUAUAAAUAUUGAUAUUGAAAUUAUUGUACAAAUAUUUUUAAAAUAUGAAAUCAUGUUAAAAAUAAUUGUAAAAUUUUUAUCAAUUAUGAGUGAAUAUGAAAGUUUUAAUUUUUAUUAGCAUUAUCUUAUUCUUAUUUUAUUUUUAAUUUAAUAUAUUUAAAUUAAACUAGCAAAAUUUCUAACUAUAUGUUGCUAAUAACCAAUACUUUAUAAGCUAACCUCCUAGCCAAAAUCGAAUUAUUCCAAUAUUGAUGUAGAACAAAGAAGAUCGUUGAGCAAGAAGAGGAACAACCUAAAAGACAAAAGAUUGGAAAGUGCACAAAAGUAAAAGGAAGUGUGGCCUGUUUCGUUUCGUACAAAUUAAGCACACUUGGGUUAUUUUCCUUCUCAUUUUAUCGUUUAUGCUUCGGCUUCUGAUUCUACAUUUGUGUUCUCCUUAGCUUCCAAUUCAACGUCGCCCAUCUGUUUACCUACAUAUGGAAGUACAAAGAAAGAAUGAGAUUUGGAUCUUGAAUCUUAAUUUUUUAAGUGAAUUGUUAGGUUUUUUUAACUCAAAUUUAUUUCAGUAAAGUUGUUUGGUAACAUUUUUAUUUUGAUAAAUUCGUUUAAGGUUUUUUUUUUAUUGUCUGUAAAUAUGUGAUUAUGUUUAAGGUUAAGAGUAUUGCUAUUAUUAUACAAGAAAUCAUGUUUAUUGACAUAUUUUUCUAUUAAAAAAUCAACCACUAUCUAUUAAUUUAUCAUUUUUAAAAUGAUUACCAAAUACAUUAUAAAUCAAAUAAAAUUAAUUUAAAAAGAUAAUAAUUGAUGCAACAAUAUAAUUAUAUGCACCCCAUAUGAAAUUGAAAAUAUAUAAAACCAAAAAAUAUGCUUAAUUUUUCUCCAUGAGUUAGAAUAAAAAUAUAUGUAAUUAUAUGUUUUUAUUUAGUAAUUGAUUUUCUUACAUUAAAAUCGGAAUUCAAAUCUUUGCAAAUGAGUAUAAAAUUUUCUUUAUAGCAUGAUUAUAGACAAUUGCAAUAUUCAUUACCACCUGAUAUGUAUGGCAUCUUUUAUUUGAAAUAUGGCUCUGCCUCUGCAUAGAUUAUAAUUCACCACAGUGUAGGAUAUUAUAUGUCUCUCACCUCAGACGGAUCUCUUUCAAACUGAAUAAAUGAAUUAUGAUGUCUAUUUCUUGCAUCAUCUAUCUUCUAUAACGAUAAACAAUGUGGUUCCAAUUGUAGCAUUAGCUAUUGAGACAGUAGAAUUUUUAUCGUACAGACAUAUUUUAACUGUUCCGCUUCCAUUAUUUUAACUAUUUCAAUCAGAUCUGGUCGUAUCUAUGCGGUUGACACACGAAGAAUCCCAAGGCUCCCCCCUUGCAUAAAGUGCUGCAGCCUGAGGAUAUUGUUAUGAAGACAGGCCUUGCUUAUCCCCACACAUCCCACUGCCUUGCCUCUGGAGAUAUAAUGGCAUCACGUGGAAAAGCUGAAGGAAAUGGAUUUCUUCUCCUUGAUUCUGAAUUUAAUGUGAAAGGAAGGUAAUGCCAAAAACCCAAAAAAAGAAAAGAAGGAAAAUGAUCGUGAAUAAUAGAAAUGAUUGCUAGCUGCGGUUUUUGGUGCAUGAUAUUGUGAUUGAACUUUGAAACAAUCGGAUUCAACCUCUUAGCUACUAUUGUGCUCUUCAGGUGGGAUAAACCAGGGCAUAAUCCUCUGUUUGGCUGUGACUUUUGGUACCAACCUCGACAUAAAACAAUGAUCAGCUCAUCAUGGGAUGCUCCUGCAGCCUUCACCAAAGGUGUCAACCUUCAGCCUGUCACAGAUGGUAUCUAUGGGAGACAUCUGUAUAUGUAUAGUUGGCCUGAUGGUGAAUUGAAACUACAUUGGAUCUCGGUGACACUGGUGUCAUACCAUUAGAGGUGUAUUACAUGUUAACAUUAUGAACAUGUUACAACUUUGUUUUUAAGACUAGAUUUUGCUCAAAGAUAAUAUGUAGUUCUGUUUCAUAUUCGUUGUUAUAAUGGUAAGGCCAGAUCCUGGAUUCACCGCAUAUAAUUUUGUCAUUUCUACGCAGAUAAGUUUCCUGCGUGAUCCCUCUAAAGAUACAGGGUAUGUUGGGUGUGCCUUGACGAGUAACAUGGUGCGGUUUUUCAAAACCCCAGAAGGAUCAUGGAGCCAUGAGGUGUGCGCAUAAAUAACUUUUGUUUUUGUAUGGUUAUUGUUAACGAUGUUUGGUAGUCUUUGCAUUCCACAAGCCUAAUAAUAUGAGUAUCCUUAUCAACUUCUACAGGCGGCAAUCUCAGUGAAACCAUUGGAGGUGCAAAACUGGAUUCUUCUUGAAAUGCCUGGACUUAUAACCCACUUUCUAAUCUCUCUUGAUGAUCGUUUUCUGUAUUUUGUCAACUGGCUUCAUGGAGAUGUCCGACAAUAUAAUGUUGAGGACCCUAAAUAUCCAGUAUUGGCUGGCCAAGUAUGGGUUAGAGGACUGAUUCAAAAAGGAAGCCCUGUACUGGCAGUGACAAAAGAUGGUAAAAGGUGGCAAUCCAAUGUUCCUGAGAUCCAGGUCGGUUCUCAUAUUCAUGUUACUUAUAAACUACAAGUUUGAGCAGUAGUUAAGAAAAAGGCAGAAUGACGUAUGGCCUCAUCAGCGCCACACCUGCUAAUUUUAAACACAACAUGAUGACAUUAAUUUUAAACACAACAUGAUGACACGAGAGAAGACACGAAUUGUUAGGUUUAAUCAGGGCAUAAUGAUAGGUUUUAUAUAUUCUUGACAUUGUUUUGAAGUUAUCAAACAAGAUUGUCUAUCCCUACAUUGAAUAAACAAAAACAAGAAAUAUGCCUGGAGAUGCAUGGAGGGGGGGGGUUCAUUCUGGUUCUUUUUGGCCUGAUUUGUAUGGCUACUCGACUUACCAUUUGAUGCUCAGGCUGCCUAGACAAACAGCCCGGUUUGACACUUGACAGGCUGUGUGUGCUUUUCUAAUUCUUAGGAAUGGUAUCACAUAGGCAAAUUAAUUCAGUACAAAAAACCCUUCUUUUUAACUUAAUUGUUAGUUGGUAAAAUUCUUAUCUUCUUUAUAGGGACAUCGUCUGAGAGGGGGACCCCAGAUGAUCCAGUUGAGCUUAGAUGGGAUGCGGCUAUAUCUAACCAACUCACUGUUCAGCAAAUGGAAUCGCCAAUUCUAUCCUGAACUCGUGGAGAAGGGUUCCCACAUGUUACAGAUUGAUGUUUACACUGAGAAAGGUGGUCUUAAAAUAAACCCGAACUUUUUUGUUGACUUUGGUGCUGAACCUGAUGGCCCUUCUCUGGCUCAUGAGAUGAGAAAUCCAGGUGGUGACUGCACUUCAGAUAUUUGGAUUUAAGCACCCUGAACCAAUUUAGCAGUGAAGAAUCAUGCUUUAUUGUAGUAGGAAAAAAAAUCAAUGCAAUUCCAAUUACAAUGUGUUGAGGCAGGAUCAUCUGGAAAGAUAUAACGUAUGUAUUCAUAAACUGUAGAUCAGCACAUCUAUGUAAAAUUAUAAACAGCUGAAAGUAGUCAAAAAAGAGUCCAUAUUGCAUUAAUGUAUGAUGUAAUUCUCUUUUUUAGCUUUUAGGUAUUGGAAGUGUUAGGAAAGUGGGGUCCAGCCCUAUAUAAUUGGGUUUGGACUAAUCAAAGGCCAUAGGCUUUGGUCUUUUUUUUUACACAAAGCCCUAGCUACUUAAUAAAAAUAAGAGACGCUGUUUUAAGGUGAAAAAAAAGAAGGUGGUGUCGAAAAACUAAAAAAAGAAAAGAGAAAAAAGAAGCCAAGAAAAUAGAAAGAAAUGGAAGAAGGGAGAGUUGGUUGAAUGAAAAUCUAUCUGUAGUCCGAUUGAGUUAAAAUUUUGUUAACGUGUUUAUGAUUCAAAGUUCUACAUUUUAAACAAUGAAGACUGGGUUUGAAGCUCUUUAGAAAUAAAUUCAAGGUAUAUUUGUUGAGUCACCUAUUUGGUGAGAUUUCUUCAAUUUUCUUUUUAAUUGUUGAUUAGCUUUAGUUUUAGUUAGAGAAGAAUUUUGUACAUGUAUUAUUUAAUAGUGGAGUUUUUUUUUCUAGUGGUCCAUGGUUUUUCCCUCCACAUUUGAGGGUUUGUCACGUAAAUCUUGGUGUGCUUUAUUUUUCCUGUAUUGUUAAUUAUUGAUUUUUGUCUAUUACUGUGGGUUUAUUGCGUUAUAUUGCUUCUGCCUUGUUAUGUUUAUUGCUUCAAGCCCAACAAAUGGUAUCAAAACCAGUUUUAAGGGAGCUAGCGAUGUGCCAUCGAGGACGGUGGGCCUACAUUGGAGUGGGAGAGAAUAUCACGAUCCUAGAAAGGAGCCAUGAAUCUUUCAUCAGUUGAGUACUAGAGUUGAUCUUGAGAUAUAAGGGUUCACACCACCCUCUUCUUAUGAGGCACCUCUUGUGGGACAAAAUCGUAAGGCCAAAGAAAGAUCGGAGCAGAUAAUACCUCACAAGGGUGUGGACCUUAGGCUGAUCUGAGACAUUGGAUUAGUGUAUGCCUAAGUCCUAGAGCCUCGCGGGCCUAGAGGUUGAGUCUUGGCCCAUGACAAGUGAUAUCAGAGCAAAGGUUAUUUUGAGACAUCAAUAUAAAAGUAGUCUAAGACAAAAGUAAAUUCUAUUUGAGAUCAUGAAGGGUGAUACACAUUCCAUGAUAAAAUUGACAACAUCAAAUUAUUCAAUUUGAAAGCCUAUAAUGAAAAUUUAUUUAUACUGCAAAAAUUUGUAUGAGUCGGUAUUAGUGAUUCGGCUAAACCAGCAGAAAUGAAAGAUGAAAGCUAAGAAAAGUUAGGUAAAAAAAUACUGGCUACAAUUAAAAAAUGGAUUGAUAUCAGCAUGUUCCAUAAUGUAGCAUAGGAGACAAAUGCCCAUACUAUUUGGAAAAAAUUGCCAGCAUUAUAUGAGAGAAAAAUAUAUAUGAAUAAAGUCAUACUUGUUAAAAAGCUUGCAACUUUAUAGUAUAGGGAUUGACGAUCAAUUAUAAAGCACUUGAGUGAUUUUCAAGAUGUAUUUAAUCGGAUGACUACUAUAGAGCUUAAGAUGGAUGAUGAAAUGAAGGCAUUGUUUCUUUUAGGUUCAUUGCCAGACAACUAGAAUACUCUUAUUGUGACUGUUCUUAAUUUAGUUCUUAAUUACAAAGGUGAACAUUAGAAGAUAGUAAAGCGAUAGUCAUGCUUCAAUGAAAGAAGUAAGGUGAAAAAGAUUUAAACAUAGGAAUUAAGCUCUUGGUCACCAACAAAUAAGGAUAAAACAUCCAACAAAGAUCAGAACUCAAAAGGCCAUAGUAAGUCUGACAUAGAUCCUAGUCCAUAGAUAAAGUGAAGUGUUUUCAUUAUGGUCAAGCAAAUCAUAUAUAAAUGAUACUACAAAAUCUUAAAACAAGAGUAGAAAGAUGAGAAAGGUAAGAGUUUAGAUGAUGGCAAUGUUACAGCAAUGAAUUCAGAUAGUGAUUCAAUUACUUUGAUUUGUACACAUGAUGAUUGUAAUCAUGUUGGUGAUCCUGAUAUUGAGUGGAUAGUUGACACAAUAGUGGUAUAUUAUUAUGUUCCUAAGUGGGAGUUGUUUAUAACUUACAAAGCAAAAGACUUUGGUUACACCAAGAUGAGAAAUAAGAGUGUGUUGUAGAUUGCUGAGAUUAGUCAUAUUAUUAUACAAAUUAGUAUGAGCUGCAUGUUGACUUUGAGAGAUGUUAGAUACAUUUCGAAUAAGCAAAUGAACUUACUUGCUAUUAAUGUCUUUGAUAAGGAAAGAUAUAAGAGUCAACAAAAGAAUGGAUAAUAAAAGCUUCUCAAAGGAUCUAUGGUAGUUGUAAGGGAAAACUAUGCUAUAGAAUGUACACAACAUUGAUGUAAUUGAAUGGCAACUAGAUAAAUGCCGUUAAGGAUGAUGCUUCAGCAAACUUGUGGCAUAAAAGGCUGAAACACAUGAGCUAAAAGGGGAUACAAGUUUUGGUAAGGCAGUUUCUCAUUCUUUUGACCAAAUGUACGUCUCUCGAUUCAUGUGAACGUUGUUUGUUUGGUAAGCAUCAUAGCGUUUCUUUUGGUAAGAGUUCUCAAAGAAAAGAAAAUAGAUUGGAAUUAAUUUAUUCUGAUGUAUGUGGUCCCAUUGAGGUUGAGUCAUUAGGUGGUAAUAGGUAUUUUGUUAUUUUUAUUAAUAAUGCUUCAUGUAAGAUUUGGCUGUAUAUGUUGAAAAAUAAAAGCCUAGUAUUAUAGUAUUUUCAAAAAUUUUAUACCAUGGUGAAAAAGAUGAUAGGCUACACUUGAAGUGUAUUUGGACUGAUAAUGAUAGGGAAUACACAUCCAAAAACUUUGAAGAGUACUGUUCAAAGCAUGGGAUCAGACAUAGAUAAUAGAACUUAGAACAUCGCAACAUAAUGGUGUAGCUGAAAGGAUGAACUGCACUAUUGUGGAAAAAGUCAGAUGCAUGUUAAGGAUAAAAAAAUUACUAAAGCCAUUUUAGGGUGAAACAGUCAACACAACUUGUUAUUUGCUUAACAAAUCACCAUCAAUUUUUUUAGGUUUUGACAUUUUAGAAAAAGUGUAGAUAAGGAAAAAUGCUUCAUACUUUCACUUGAAAGUUUUUGGGUGUAAAGUAUUCAUGCAUGUGUCAAAAGAGUAAAGGUUAAAGCUGGAUAGUAAUGCCACACAAUAUGUGUUUGUAGGACAUAGUGAUGAGAAAUUUGGCUAGAGGGUAUGGGAUCUAGUGAAGAGAAAUACAAUCAAAAGUAGAGAUGUGACCUUCCAUGAAAAAAAAUCAUAGUAGAUCUUGAAAAAAAUUAGAAGACUACAUAAGUUACUAUUAAGUAUGAUGUUUCAACACUAAUAAAAGUUAUACAAAAAAGAGCCACAGAAGGUGAAAAUGAGCAGAAAAUAAAACUUGAGGAUAUAAAUGAGCCAACUACAGUUAAUGAUGAGCCAAAUACAAUCAAUUUUAAGUAGGGUGAGUAGUUUUCUCAAUAAAAAAGUGUUGAUGAGGGAGAGCCACCUUUGACAUUACGUGGUGUAAAGUCUUAGCCUAGGAGAUCUACUAGAUAGCCUAAGCCAUCUACUAAGUAUCCAAGUUCAGAUUUUAUUUUAGUUACUAAUGAAAGAGAGCCAGAGAGUUUCCAAGAUGUGAUGCUAUUCCGAAUAAAGAGCACUAGUUAAAAGCAAUGAAAGAAAAGAUAGAGUUAUUGCCAAAAAAAUAGUACAUAUGAUCUUGUUAAACUUUCAAAAGAGAGAGGGCCGUUAAAAAAUAAAUGGGAUUUUAAGUUGAAAAAAGAUGGUGACAAGCUAGUGAAGUAACAAGCUCUAUUAAUGGUGAAAGGUUUUUCUUAGAAAUUAGGCAUCAAUUUUGAUAAGAUCUCCCUUUAGUUGCAAAAAUGAGUUCUAUUCAAGUGGUAUUGGGAUUAGUAGCUAGUUUGAAUCUUGAGCUUGAACAACUUGAUGUUAAAACUACUUUCUUACAUGGUGACUUGCAGAAAGAUAUUUAUAUGAAUCAGCCUGAAGGUUUUGAGGUGAAAGAGAAAGAGCACUUAGUUUGCAAAUUGAAAAAAAAUUUGUAUGGAUUGAAACAAGCUCUGUGACAAUGGUAUAAAAAGUUUGAUUCUUUUAUGAUGAGCCACAGCUAUAAAAAAAUGACAGUGGAUAAUUGUGUAUAUGUCAAAAAAAAUUUUGAUGGUAACUUCAUUAUUCUUUUAUUAUUUGUUGAUAAUAUGUUGAUUGUGAGAUAAGAAGCUGCUAUGAUUUACAGGUUGAAAAAACAAUUGUCUAAGUCUUUUAACAUGAAGGAUUUAGGUCAAGUAAAGUAGAUACUCGAUAUGGACAUUAUCCAAGAUAGGAGAGUUAGAAAGCUAUGGUUGUUAUAGAAAAAGUAUGUUGAAUGGGUGCUUAGUAGAUUCAACAUGCAACAUGCUAAAUUAGUUAACAGUCUACUUAUCAACCAUUUUCAUCUAAGUAACAAAUCUUGUCUGAUGACUAAAAAAGAGCAACUAGCUAUAUCUAGUAUUUCUUAUUCUUUUGCAAUCGGUUCUUUGAUGUAUCUUAUAGUUUACAUACAGCCUGACAUUGCUUAUGUAAUUAAUGUAGUAAGCAAAUUUCUUUCUAAUCUGAGAAAGGUUCAUCAAGAAGCAGUAAAAUGAAUUUUUAGAUAUUUAAGGGACACUUAAAAAAUGUGCUUGAGUUAUGGAGUUUAACAAUCAGUUCUAAAAGGGUUUACUGAUGUUGACAUAGCAGGUAAUCAUAAUGGUAAGAAAUCUACUUCAAGGUAUUUGUUCAUUUUUACAGGAAGAGCUAUAUUUUGGCAGUCUAAGUUAUAAAAGUGUAUUGCUUUAUCAUCUACAAAAGCAGAGUAUAUUUUAGCAAUCGAAGUAGGUAAAGAAAUGUUUUAGAGGAAAUAUUUUCUUUUUGAAUUAAAGUUGAAUCGAAAAGAGUAUGUGAUAUUUUGUGAUAGCCAAAAUGCUUGAGAUUUGAGUAUGAAUGCCAUGUACCAUACUAAAAUGAAGUACAUUGAUGUUAGAUAUCACUAGUUACUUUCAGUGAUUGAGGAAUAACAAAUACUAUUGAAAAAAGUUCAUACUGAUAAAAAUGUAGCAGAUAUGUUGAUUAAGACACUUUUCAAGAAUAAGCUUGAGCUCUACACUAACUUGGCCAAAAUGAGUUCCUUGGCUAAGGUAAAUUCUAAAUGAAACUACUAUGGUAAUGAAUCUCUUCUUAAUGGGGCUAAAGGGGGAGAUUGUUAGAAAAGUGGGGUCCAGCCCUAUGUAAUUGGGUUUGGACUAAUUAAAGACCAUAGGCCUCGGUCUUUCUUUUUACACAGAGCCAUAGCUACUUAAUAAAAAGAGGUGAGGCUAUUUUAAGGUGAAAAAAAAAAGAAAAUGGUGUCAAAAAACCCAUAAAAAAAAGAAAAAAAAGAAGCUAAGAAGAUAAAAAUAAAAGAAAGAAGGGAGAGUUGGUUGAACGAAAAUCGAUUUGUGAUUCGAUUAAACUGAAACUUUGUCAGCAAGUUUAUGAUUCAAAGUUCUACAUUCUAAAUGGUGAAACUCAGAUUUGAAGCUCUCUAGAAACAAAUCCAAUGUAUAUUUGUUGAGUCAACUAUUUGAUGAGAUUUCUCCAGUUGUCUCUCUAGUUGUUGAUUAGCUUUAAUUUUAGCUAGAGAAGAACUUUGUAUAUCUAUUGUUUGAUAGUGAAGAUUUUUUUCUUAUGAUCCAUGAUUUUUUCCUCUACAUUGAAAGGUUUUUCAAUGUAAAUUUUUUUGUGCUUUAUUUUUUUUGCAUUGUUGAUUGUUAUCUAUUACUGUGGGUUUAUUGCAAUAUAUUGCUUCUGCAUUGUUGUAUUUAUUGCUUCAGGCCCAACAAGUGGUAUUAAAGCCAGCUCUAGGGGUACUAGCUAUGUGCCAUCAAGGAUGGUAGACCCUCGUUGGAGUGGGAGAGGAUGUCAUGGUCCUAGAGAAAAGCCAUAAAUCCCACAUCAGUUGGGUACUAGAGUUGAUCUUGAGAUAUAAGGGUUUACAUCACCCUCUUCUUGUGAGGUAUCUUUUAUGGGAUAAAAUCGUGAGGCCAAGAAAGUGCUAGAGUGGAUAAUUUCUCAUAAGGGUGUGAAUCUUAGGCUGAUUUGAAAUGUCGAAUGAGUGCAUACAUGGGUUUUAGAGUAAUGCAGGCCUAAAGGUUGAGUCUCAACAUGUGACAAGAAGAUUGCUUUUAAAAUAAAAUUAUGGUAAUAUCAUUUUAAAAUAUGAUAUAUAACAAUUUGUUAUACAUAAAAGUGAUAGAAAUUCCAUAGGUAGACUCUGAGAGAACAAGGUACCUAUUGCAGAAAUCCUAAUUGAUAGGAUGUUAGACUAUUGAAGAAACUAAUUAUGGCUUUUUGAUUUGCCUAAAGAAAACAUAUAAUAAUAGAACAACAUGACCUCAAUUGAAAACACAAUACCUGCCUCUACCACAAACCAUUAAAUGCUAUCUCUAUGAAUGAACCAUCUUCCAAUCAUAACAAUUUCGUUGCUUAUGAAGGAAAAUGAGAUCUCUAUCAGAAGAGGAACAUCAUUCUUUUUUGAUUAAUCACUUCUUUGCUGACCUUCAACUUUCUUCAAACCAACCCAAUUUUGAUACAAAAUGUGGAUGCUAUAUAAGGAAAGAAAUAAUAACCCCCAAAAAAACAUUAAGUUCCCAUUUGCAAAGUCCUGGUCAUUACUCUCAUAAACUAUAGUAAGAUUAGGCCAAGAACAAUAAAUGGUGCCAAUAGAGGUUGGCAAAUGACUUUUCCAUUUCUAGGCAAUUACAAAUGAUGAAGAAGUAAGGUGGUACUGAUAGAAAAGCUACCAGCAAUGUUAAAUGGUAUGAAAGGAAAAGUUCACAAAUGAGGACCACUGAGAGUAGACCAAAGAGUCCAUACAUACAUAUUGGACACCAUUUUAGCCCAAAAGUUUAAGCUAUUAGGUUCUUAUGUUCUUUAUGCAUAUAUAAGACAUUUCAUUCAGAUUUUCUAAUGAUGUGAGAUUCUUUACUCACAUGUGAACCAUAUCCCAACAAUCUCCCUCGUUCACUUGUGAAUUCUGAUCAAGUCCUACCUUGACUUUCCCAUGUGAGUAAGUCCUAUCAACACCUCCAUUGGGCUAAGCAACCUCACAUCUCCAGUGCUCUUUUUUGGGUAGGCCACAACACUCAACCUUACUACCUAGGUUAUCUUAGUGCUCUCUCAAGCUUACACUCUAGGUUAACUCAACAUAUCGCCCACUUGGCCAGCAACACUAUUGGGACUCGAACCUGUAACUUCUCGAACCCAUCAUAAUUUUAGCUCUGAUACUACUUGUUAGGGAGAUAAACCACACUUGGAGCUUAUGAGAGCACUUCUGAGAGCCCAUACAUACAUUUUGGAUACCACUUGAGUCCAAAAGCUUAAGCUAUUAGGUUCUUGGGUCUUUCAUGCAUAUAUAGGACAUCUCAUUUAGAUUUGCUAAUGAUAUGAGAUUCUUUACUCACAUGUGAAUCAUAUCCCAACACAUAUAGCAAACCAUGGCUAAAAGCAAGGAAAGCUCUAUUGCAUGGAAAGUUGGCCAUGGUUUUGUUAUCUUUGGUAUAGAAAAUGAACAAUUAAUUUGAUAGAAAGAAUUGAGAAAAAUGAAGAUGAUGGGGCUUUGUUUGCUUCAAAUUGAGAUAAGUUCAUAUCUCGGAUGACUUCAUUUACUAGCAUUUUCAGUCAACGGGAAGGUAUGAACAAGUUGGAUCAAGAUUAAGACCACUUGACAUGUGACAGCUGCCAUGGUCAUUUUUAAAGGAAGUGAGUCAGUGAAUUAAACUAUAUUGGCUUGGUUUUUUUCCUUUGAUUUCAUUUAUUUUUUUUCAUUUUCCACCGAUAUUUUCAAAGUAGGGCGCCAUGCUGAAUAAACUUAACAUAACACUAUUUUUUUUUCCAAUAGUCACACUAUCCCUUAAUUUUAACUUUCCCAAAAUUUCUAUAAGGAUUACUAUGAGAUGAUUCUGAUAAUUAAAAAGUAAUUAAAUUUUAAAUGCAUUUAGUUAAUGCAGGGGAUCUUAAAAUCUUAAAUGCAUUCAGUUGAUGCAGGGGAUUUUAAAAUCGUAUGAAAAAAAUUAUAUUUAGAUAAAUCAUGAGAUAAGUGAACCGUCUUAACAUGAAAAAAAAUGGUAGAUGGGUAGAAAUAUAUAUAUUUUUAUUUUAAGAAAAAUUGGAACCUUUCCCUUUGAGUAGGCGAUUUAUGCCUACCAUUGAGACAUGUUCAAAUGAGCAGUUGUUUCUUAUAUAAAAAUAUAAAUCACAAUUUGAAGCUGAUUUAAUAAAUAUUUUACCAUCUAAUCAUUAGCACUUCGCAUCAUUACCCAUUUGUUGUUGAAUUUCUUUCUGCCUUUGCAAAACAGAUAUUUCAUUUAGUAUUUUCAGACAUUUCUAAGUCCAACCUGAAAUAUUUUCAUUAUUACAGAAGUGGAGAGUCGUCAAUUGCCUGAUCUUUUGAAUCUUAAUCAACUUCAGAAUAGUUUUGUUAAGCUUCCCCCCUUUUUACUGAACAAUUGCCUCUUCAAACAACCUAUAUCCCUCUUCACAUACCAUUUAGUUCUUGCUUGACCACCUCAAUUUCUCCUCUCAGCUGGCAAAUCUUCUUCCUGUCUUCAUCACAGCCUUUCCAUCAGCUGUUUACACAAAAAUGAAAGCAUUGAUAAUCAGCAAGGUGAAUCACAAUGAUCUCCUACUUUCUUUUGGGCUGGCAUAUUGACCUCUUUCAAGAGCUUCUUCUCCAUGGCCAUGUUAUUGGUUCCAUGAUGCAUUCGAAAACACAAGAUCUGGGUCAAAUUUUAGCCGUCCCGUAAGGACCCCAAAGCAGGAAAGAAGAUAACGGAACCAAUUAACCAAUUAAAUCUACGAUUCAUCCUUACAUGGAUAUUAAUCUUCUCUUUUGUAUUGAUACUCUCUCCUUAUACGCAUUGUUUGCAAAAGUGAGCUUGUCUAGGUCUCGUUUAGAGAAGCCACUUUCUUCCCAUUAUCGGUUCACCUACUUCUGAAACACUUCUCUCUAUAUUCUAAAUGGUAUAAUUGGAAAAAUGCCUGGCGUUCAUCAAACCGUUCAUAAUGUCCAAAAAAACUAGGUCAGUUGUCUUUAGUUUCUAACAAAUUUUGCAGAAAUUAAGAUUUAAUAAAAAAAAAACUAUGGUGUACUUUAAUUAUAGUUUCACUUAGUUUUUCUUGCCUCAUUCUUCUUGUUCUUGAAUCAUUAUAAGCGACAUAUACAUUAAGAACUGAACUCAAAAUAUGAAUAUCUAUGGUUUCAUUCAUAUAGUAACCCUUAAAAAGUAACAUUUAAAUGCAACAGGUCUAAAUUUUAAAAUUGCAGCGUUGCAAUGUCUUUUUUUUUUUUUUAAUCUCAUUUUGCGACUUUAGAUAAUGUGAAUAUAUAUCUCAAAAUUUACAUCAUAAUAUUGGUAGCCAUGCGCACGUCACGUGAGUUCAACUCAAAGUAACAAGGGUACAUACAAUCAGAUUUUAGUAGAGAUCUUUAAGUCAUAAUGCUUCUCUUGUAAAAAAAAAAAGAAAUCAUAGCCAAGUUUGCUUUUAAUUGUUUGAAUUGUUAUAAUGCAAUUGAAUUGAUAUAAUUAAGCCUAGUUGUCUCCUUUAUCUUCUUUGUGAUUCAAAAUAAGUCUUUAUUCAUGUUUGCCAUCAGCUUCAUAACCAUAUCACUAUAUUUUAUUUUCAAUUAUUAAAUCUACUUAUGCUUCAAGUUGACUAUAAAUCAAUUCAAACCUCACCAACAAAUAUUUUAUUAUUUUUUUGAGUUAGUCAUUUAUCAAAAUUGUUCAAUGCAAUAUGGAACAUACGAGCAAAAUAAUCACAUAAUUAAUAAAACGAGAUGAUUUAUCAAUUUCUAAUUCCGAUUAACAACUAUCAUGUUUAUCUCGUUACCUAUGGAGCAGGAAUCAUUGUAGUUUCAUUUUUUUAAACAAAUUUCAUAAACCUAUAUAAAAAUUUCAGAAUAUAAGAAUUAAAUUGAAAAAAAUACCUAUAUGUAUAAUUUAUGUAUAAGAAAUACAUGAAUAUAACAUUGUCCAUAAAAAAUUUAUAUAAAAAAUGUGUUUUGCAGCUCGACAACAUCUAUUUCAACAAUUGGUUUUAGAUUAAUUUUUGGUACAAAAAAAAGCCCAAACUUAGGGGCUAAGAUAAGAGGAAUUGCACCAGACAAAUAUAAUUUCGAAUUAAUUAAUAGAGCUCUUAUUAUGUAACUUCUUGUUUUAGGCUAGAAAAUGUGCCUAAACGUUAUUUUAUAACUUUGGGCUUGAUCAAAAUAUAAGGCUCAACCUUCUCUAGGUCUUCUAUUGUUAUUAUUUUUUUAAUAUUAAAGCCCAGUCCAAGCCUUACUGAAGUUGAUCUAAUGACAGCUCUAUUACGUUAAAUUUAAAUAAUAAUAAUAAUAAUAAUGAUAAUAAUAAUAAUAAUAAUAAUAAUAGAUUUAUUAAAAUUUAAAAUAAAAAUUGAUUGAACGAUAAUUGUAAAGCAACAUAUAUCAUACAAUGGAAACUUCAAUUGAACAAUUAUUUACUGUUACAAUAAGGGAUAACUUUUAUAUUAUGAUAUAGAUUUUAGAAUAUGUAAAAUAACAACAUAUGUAAAUAUUGCUCAACAUUAAUGGAAUUCAAAUUUUAAAGAUUUAAGAUAGUGUCGAGUCUAGUAAUUAGUAGCUUUUAACCUUUAUGAAAAUCAAAAAUUAAAAUUUAAAAGAUUAUCCUCUAUAAAUGGUUGAUAAUGAUGAGCUCUUGUUUUAAUAAUAAAAGUAAGAUUUUAAAAUUUAUAAAUUUUAAGUUCAAAUCACACCAUAUAUUUAUUUAAUUUAAUUAUAUAUUCGUUUUGCUUAUUAAUUUAUUUUUGUACAUAGAAUGGGCAUAAUUUAUAAGGGAAGAGAGAGGAGAUCAUAGUUUUGAAACUAAGAUUUCGAUGUUAUUCCAAAAACUUUUUAAUCACUAAAUCAAAAGUUGAGGAUAAAAUACUAUACAAUAUAUUUUUUAAAUUCAAACAAAAUAUACACAUUUGGUAAUGUUAAUGUUUAUGUAAUCAAAUAAUAUAUAAGGAAGAAUCAACUUACACUAGAAUAAAACUUACACCAUGUUUUUAACAUCUUAAACUAAAACUUUUAAAUUAAUUGAAUAUUUUCCUAAGAAAAAAAAUAUUUUUCAACCAUAUGCAUUUUAAAAUAAGAGAAAUAUACAUAUCUAUAUACAUAUAUAUAUAUAUAUCCUUUUAAUAAAAAUUCAAAAAUAUAAAAAACUUAAAUUUGUGUCUACUAGACAAUAUAAUGUACUAUAAUUAACAUUGAUACAUAUGUAGAUCCCAACAAAAAUAUAUAAUAUAAUUAUAUAUUAAGAGAUGGGUAUGAAUGAUUAAAGAAGUAAAGAAUAAGCCAAAAUAUUUUGUUUAUGAACUUGGAUCUUAAUUUAAUUGAUUCAUACUAAUAUAUUGAAGAAAUUGCAUCCAAUAUAUUUAGAGUUCAAAUCUCAAUAUCUAUACUCAUUUCUCUUAUCUCUAAGUUGAGAAUUGCUUUAUAAAUAUAUAUUCUUUAUUUUUAGUAACAAACGCAAUAUAUUUUUUUGCUACAACUUUUAAUGAUUCUUCUUCCUUCCUUCUUCCCUCAAACCUCCAAAAGUGAACUUGUUUAAAUGAAGUUCAUGAAAUUUUUUAUUAAAAUUAUUCAAUAAAAAUUAAAAUUUAAAAUUAAAACCAAUAAAUUAAAAAAUCUUGUUACAUAAAUUAAGUGUAUAAAUUUUGAAAAAAAUUAAUAAAAUUUGAUUUAUUUUUUAGAUAGAUAUUUUUAAUAAAAAUCUUAAUAAAAUUUUCCUAUUAAAUAAGUAUUUGUCAAAUUUAAAUUAGAAAAUAUAUUUUUAAUAAUUUUUUACAUAUUAUUAAUAUUCUCAUUAAAGAAAAGGAAUUACAACAUUAAUUAAAAAAAAAAAAGAAAAAGGAGUCUUCCACAGGGCUAAUUACUUGACACUCAUCAAGCAAUUAUUAAUAUUUUAUAAUUUUUUGUAAUUUUUUUCAUAAAAAUGUUUUUUGAAAAAUAUUUAUAUUAAUUUUUAAAAUUUUUUACCCAAAAACUUCUUUAUCUAGAAGCUUUAUAGAAGCUUUUUACUUUUUUUUUUUCAAUUUUAAACAAUUUAGUUUUAAAUUUAUUUUUAAUCAAUAUAAAUAAUUAUUGAACAUCCAAUCAAAAGAUGACAAAUGUCAUCAAAUUGGAUACCUUUAUAAAUAGUAUUAGAUUUGUAAACUACUUUUUUUGUUUUUUUUAGUGGUAAAUGGUUCUUGGAACCUACCCAGUACAUCCCUCUCUAGAUUGGUUUAAAUUGGUUUAUUUAUGUUGGACCUAGUAAAUACAGUAAAAAAAUAUUUUUUUAUAGUCUUUUAAUGGAUUAGGUAACAAAGAGAAAACAAUUUUUUUUUUGCCACUUAAACUAACUGGCUGUUGAUAAAUUUAGAAACUACUUUAAAUAAUCAUAAGAGAUUUAUUAAAAUUUAAAAUAAAAAUUAAUUGGAGGGUAAUUAUUAGGCAACAUGUGUCAUGCAAUGGAAGCUUCAAUUAAACAAUGAUUUACGGUUACAAUUAGGGAAUAACUUUAUAUUAUGGCAUAGAUUUUACAAUAUGUAAAAUAACAAUAUAUGUAAAUAUUGCACAACAUUAAUGGAGUUCAAAUUUUAGAGAUUUAAGACAAUGUCAAAUCUAGUAAUUAGUAGCUUUUACUCUUUAUGAAAAUCAAAUUUUAAAAUUUAAAAGAUUAUCCUCUAUAUAUGGUUGAUAAUGAUGAGCUCUUUUUUCAAUAAUAAAAGUAAGGUUUUAAAAUUUAUAAAUUUUAAGUCCAAAUCACACCACAUAUUCAUUUAAUUUAAUUCUAUAUUGGUUUUGCUUAUUAAUUUAUUUUUGUACAUAGAAUGGGCAUAAUUUAUAGGAGAAGAGAUAGAAGAUCUUAGUUUCAAAAUCAAGUUCUUUUUACGGUAUCCUAAAAACUCUUUAAUUACUAAAUCAAAAAAUUGAAGAUAAAAUAUUAUACAAUAUAUUAUUUAAACUAAUUUUUUUAUGAUAUCCUAAAAGCUCUUUAAUUACUAAAUCAAAAAGCAAAGGAUAAAAUAUUAUACAAUAUAUUAUUUAAAGUCAAACACAAUAUACACACUUAGUAAUGUUAAUGUUUAUGUAAUCAAAUAAUAUAUAUAAGGAGAAAUCAACUUACAUUAGUGUAAAAUUUUUUAGUUUUACAUUUUUUUUAACAAUUGAUUUAAUAAAUCUAAGAGACGAGAGACACAAGUUAAAAAAAAGAGUUUAAUUUCAUUUCUUAAAUCAUUUAAUUUAAUUCUAUAUUGGUUUUACUUAUUAAUUUAUUUUUGUACAAAGAAUGAGCAUAAUUUAUAGGAGAAGAGAUAGAAGAUCUUAGUUUUAAAAUCAAGUUUUUUUAUGAUAUCCUAAAAUCUCUUUAAUUACUAAAUCAAAAAGCUGAGGAUAAAAUAUUAUAUAAUGUAUUAUUUAAAGUCAAACAAAAUAUACACACUUAGUAAUGUUAAUGUUUAUGUAAUCAAAUAAUAUAUAUAAGGAGAAAUCAACUUACAUUAGUGUAAAAUCUUUUAGUUUUACAUUUUUUUAACAAUUGAUUUCAAUAGAUCUAAAGGAUGAGAGACACAAGUUAAAAAAAGGUUUUAUUUCAUUUCUUAAAUCUAUUAAAAUUAAUGACUAAAAUAUAAAAAAAAUUAGUGUAACUUAAUUCUUUCCUAUAAAUAUAUAUAUAAUUGGUGGUUUAUGCUUUAUAAAUUAUAAACCAAUAAUAACCUAGAUACGUAGUGACGUCAUGUUUUCAACAUCUUAAACUAAAAUUUUUAAAUUAAUUGAAUAUUUUUCCUAAGAAAAAAAAAUAUUUUUCAACCAUAUGCAUUUUAAGAUAAGAAAAAUAUACAUAUAUAUAUCCUUUUAACAAAAAUUCAAAAAAAUAAAAAACUUAAAUUUGUAUUUACUAGACGAUUUAAUGGACUAUAAUUCACAUUGAUACAUAUGUAGAUCCCAACAAAAAUAUAUAAUACAAUUACAUAUUAAGAGUCGAGUUCGAAUGAUUAAAGAAGUUAAGAAUAAGCCAAAAUAUUUUGUUUAUAAAUUUAGAUCUUAAUUUAAUUAAUUCAUAUAAAUAUAUUUAAGAAAUGAUAUCUAACAUAUUUAGAGUUCAAAUCUCAAUAUUUAUAAUCAUUUUCAUUAUCUCUAAAUUGAGAUUUGCUUUAUUAAUAUAUAUUCUUUAUAUUUGGUAACAAACACAAUAUUUUUUUGCUACAAAUUUUAAUGAUUCUUCUUUGUUCCUUCUUCCCGCAAAUCUCCAAAAGUGAAGUUUUUUAUGUGAAAUUUAUGAAAUUCUUUAACAAAAAUGAUUCAAUAAAAAUUACAAUUUAAAAUCAAAUUUAAUAAAUUAAAAAAUUUUGUUAUAUAGAUUAAAUAUAUAAAUUUUAAAAAAAAAUUAAUAAAAUUUGAUAUAUUUUUUAAAUAGAUAUUUUUAAUAAAAAAACUUAACAAAAUUUUUACUAUUAACUAAAUAUUUAUCAAAUUUGAAUUAUAAAUGAUAUUUUUAAUAAUUUUUUAAUAUAUAUUAAUCUUUUCAUUAAAUUCAAUUGAUUUUAUUAAAUUAUUUUUAAUAAAAAAUUUUACAAACUUUAUCUAAAUAAGUUUAUUAAGAAUCUCCCUCCCUUAAUAUUACCUAGCCACCGACAUAUUCUCGUUUGUUCUUUCUUCUAACAACGUAACUUCACCAUCGUCCAAGUUGCCUUCGGCGUUUUUAUAUAUAGUCAAAGGAAACUUUCAAAAAGGAAAGUAAAGUUGCUUGUUUCAUUGAAGAUAAUAUUGAAGUCCACAUCACUCUGGACAACUCCUCCAAGUUAUUUCCCAUUAAUUUCCAUUCCGCGUAUGAAUUUCUUGGAUCAGACAAAAUGAUUUAAUGAACUUUUUUCUUGGUUGGUUCCUAGUCAUAGUAACAGCCCCCCAAAAAAAAUUAAUGUGAAUACUAACGAUUAGUAACGAUCCUUACAGUGUAAUUUUCAGAUGGAUGUACUAAGUUUCCAAAAACCAUUUUCUGUAUUGCAUUUUUUUCUUUGACUUCCCUUGGCUGCCAAAGGUUUCUCUGAAGCAUCUUCUUCAAAUUUUUUUAUUUCUUUUUUAAAGCAAAUUCUAAGAAAAACAAAAGGCAAGACCUAAUUGAAUGAAAAUUGUCUAUCAAUGAUAUCUUUAAUUUUUAAAAUAAUAUAAAUUAUUUGAAUUUAAGUUUAUAUAUUUUCUUAUUUAUGUAUGAAGAUAUAAAUAUAUAUAAAGUACAAUAUUAAUUUAAAAAAGAAAAGUAGUCUUUUAAAGAGCUGAUUAUUUGACACUCAUCAAGCAAUUAAUAAUAUUUUAUAAUUUUUGUAAUUUUUUUAUAAAAAUAUUUUUUUAAAGUAUUUAUUGUCAUAACAUAUAGAUUCAAAAAUCUAUAGCUAGACUUAACAAAAAGAGUCACCACCAAUCUUUUUUAACUAGAUGUGAUUGGUCACUUAAGGAAUCUAUCCUUUUUAAGGAGUUCCUAAGCUUAACUAAAGGUCCCUAAAAGAAUAAAUUCAAGUCUAUAAACCAGAAUAGGGUUCAAAAGUUUGGUUACAUAUGGAAAGCGUUAUAACACACCUACAUGCCUAUCCACAGGAUGGUAUCAUUUUAUUUUAAAUUUAUCCUAAGGUCCUGAUUUUAAUGAUUUUAAAUUUUAAUGUUAAAUGUUGAAAAUAAUUCUUAAAACUCUCCAUCAAUCUAAUAGAAUUCUUAAAAAUAUUUCUUCAUCUCAAGAGUAUUCAAGAAUCCCAUUUGAUUUCUUAAAAAGGCUUCGUCGUCGGAAAAAGUUUAAUCAUUUUUUAUUUGGUUUUUAUUUUUGAAAAUAUAUUUAAUUAUUCCAUCAUUUGAGUCAAAUUAGAAAUAUUUUCUCUUUUUGAAUUUCUAAAUUUUUCACCAUUUGGACCUAUUUAGAAAUUCUUUUUAUUUAUUUAUUUUUUUGCAAGAACAUAAUAUGACAAUUAUUUUUCUUGAAAUUUCAUUUAAAUUCUUCCACCCUUUGAAACAAAUUUAAAGAAAUUUCUCACCUAGAGAUUUCUUACGAAUUUACCAUUUGAAAUUUCUAAGAAUUUCACUCUUAGAUAAUUAUCAAAUAUUUUUAACCAAAAAUUUUUUAUUUGAAAAAGAAUACAAUUGCUUUUAUUGAAAUUUCAUCUAAAUUAUUUCAUCAUUUGGGACAUAUUUAGACAAAUUUCUCACAUAGAGAUUUCUUAAAAAUUUACCAUUUGAAAUUUCUAAGAAUCCCAUCCUUGGGCAAUUUGUAUUUAAUUCUAAAAUUUUAUUAAUAUUUUAUUUUUUAUUUUUGGUUUUUUUUUGUUUGAAAAUAAAAUAUUAAUUAUUGUUAUUGAAAUUUUAUCUAAAUUAUUCCACCAUUUGGGACAAAUUUAGACAAAAUUCUUCACUUAGGAAUUUUAUAAAAAUUUACUAUUUGAAAUUUCUAAAAAUGCUAUCAUUGAAUAAAAUUUAUUUAUUCUCAAAAAAUAUUUUAUUUUUUUCCAAAUUUUAUCAUGCAAAAAUACUGAGAAAAAAAAAACAAACACAUAAAUAAAAUACUAAAUAAAAUAAAAAUGCCCCCAAAAAACAGAAAUGGCUCAGCUAGAAGGUUGAAAUGGUUCGACUGGAGGCACAAAUAAUAGCUUGAAGGCACGGCUUAGGAAAUUGGCUCGGCUCAGCUAUAGGGUCUGGUUGAAACGCAAGUUGGCAGAGUGAGUUGCAAUUGAGUCAGGUCCCUGAAUGAAAAAUGCGCAGAUCUUGGGGUUCCUUAAAGCGAAAAUAGCAUUGUUUUGGGGCCGGUAUAAAAGGCAACACCCAGCCUUUUUUCCUUAGAUUUCACUUUCCCUCCUCUCUCUCUCUUCCCUUUUCUUUUCUCUCUUUCUCUCUCUAAAACCCCAAGAAUACCAGUUGAAUCUUCAUCAAAUUCUAAGAUUUUCAUCGAAAUCUGGAUAGGAUCGCUGGAAUCUGGCUAAAAGUUCAUCGGUUUCUAAAAAAUGGAUAUCAAAAACUAAGAACUUCACCGAAAUCUAAGGAUGUCACCGGAAAGUAGCCAAAAAUUUCAAAUUCGAAGAAAAAUUUCACCGAAAUCUAAAAAUUUUUUAGAAAAUUUCCUAAAAAAAAAUCUCUUUUUUUUUUUCAAAACCUAAAAAAAUUUUCCAAACUCUUUUUUUGACUACUUUCCGCUUUUCUAUGCAACCUAUAUUUCUCUCUGUUUUCCCUCUAAUUUUUUUUUAUGUUUCUCCUUUAUGAUUUGGGUCUGUAUUUAUAGGAUUAAAACCACAAAAUCUCCAAUCUGAAUAGAAAUUCCAAUUCCUUCUAAAUUUCAACUUUAACCCCUAAAUUCAGUUCAAAUUCAAACACCUAGCUUUAAUCAAACUCAACACCUAUUUUUUCAUUUUUUUAUUAUAAUUUUUUUUUUGUUAACAAAAUUAUCCUAAUAGAACACCAGACAGAUUGUGGUGUCUACAUUUAUAUUAAUUUUUAAAAUUUUUUUGUAAUUUUUUACCCAAAAACUUUUUUUUUAUCUAAAAGCUUAUUUAAACAGUUAGUUUUACCUUCAUUUUUAAUUAAUACAAAAAAAUUUAUUAAACAUCCAAUCAUAAGAUGACAAAUGUCGUCAAAUUGGAUGCCUUACGAAUAAUAAUAAAUUUGGAGACUAUUUUAUUAUUUAAAGGAUUGAUUGACUUAUAUAUCUUGAGUAUCGUCUGUUUAAUUCUGAGUUUUGCUAUUGAGUUUUGAAAGCAAAAGGGAUGUCAUUGUUUUUUAUCUAUAUUGCUUAGAUAAUUAUUUUUUAUCUUCCAUUCUUAGUAUAUCACUUUAAGAAAAGUGAUAAAACUUAUCUCAAAAGUGAAAGUACAUAAAACAGAAACAAUACUCAAAUUGAGUUUUCCUUUUUAUCUCAAAAACAAAAUAGAUAAAACCUUGGGCCUUUGCAAGGUUUAUAACUUAAUAAAUCAACUACAUGUCUGCAUCAAUCUCUUAAUUUAAUAAAAUAUUUUCAAUAUGCUUUUACUCUAAAUCAGUCACCAAAGUAGGCUUUUGAUAACAAAAUUUGAACUUAUAUCCAAAAUAUUCAAAUCUUAUAAAUUCAACCAAUCUCUAUUGACCUGCUCUGCCUGCCGUGCUUCACUCGAAUCGUAAUAACUUCCUCAAUUUAUAUAGAAAUUGGUCAUUAAUUGUUGUCAGUAGCAAUGAUUAUAUUUUUAGUGACUUAUAAAUGCAUAUUAACUUGCAAUUGUUUAAUUAGAAUUGUCACCAUCAAAUGGGCCAAAAUGGAGGGAAAACAAAUUUAACAAUCGAAAUUGCCUGUUUAACAUUUUUUUAAACUUAAAAAAUUGAGAAAACUAAUGAUGGAAGGAAAAUUGUAGUACCUUUUUAUGAUACAAUUUGUACAUCCACCAAAUAUAACUGAAAUCCAUGUGUAGGGGACAUGGACACGGACAUGGUGCAUUGCUUGACUGUUCAGGCAUUUCAAUGUUCAUUGCACCACUUUAUGCAGAAUCGACAGAGACAAAGUAACAACCAGCAUCCUAGGAUCAAAAUAGGUUGUAUGAUGAAUUCUCGACUACCCACAACAAUAAGAAAACAAUACCCUACAACUAAAGCUGUUCCUUUCCAGAAUUCAUCAUAUAGAAAAAGGAAUAACCAACAUCCUACAUUUACAUUUCCUAUCAAACUAUGAAACAGAAUACUUGUACGGAAUAAACAACAUCCUAGAAUUAAAACACUAACUUUUGACACCCGAUAAGCAAAACACAUGAACAUCAUCAAAACUAAAACCAUAACUGAAAAUGCAUCGAUAACUCCAGCUGCUAAAUCAGUUGGCGCUAGGUGAAAGAUUGAUUCAUAAAAGCAUAUAGCAAGAAAUGCAAGGAGUACCUGAAGAGCAGUUCUGAAACCACGAGGAAAAGGUUUAAGGAGACCCAAUGUUAAGAAAAACGUUACCAUGAAGACAGCCGAGGAUGGAAUGUAGAAAUAAAGAAAAUCAAUUUCCUUCAUGACUGAUUUUCCUACUUUUUCUUUAUCUCUUUGAUUGUCAAUGGAGUUUGAGGAACUGUCUCCCUGCCAAACACUGCCAGGUGGGCUAAGACCGGCUUGGUAUGUUGCUGUUAAAAGCAGUCCUAGAAUUACUAGUAAGGCAUUGCGGUCCUCAAUUGAUAUAUUGUCCAUAUCUUGAAAUAUUAAAGUUGAUGCCUUAGACACGUACUUGAAAAUUUGUUUCUCCAAUUUAUAAUAAAAACUUGAAACUCUUGGAAUACAGCAACCACGCAGAAUUCUAAUGCAUUCUCUGUUAUUAAGUUGUUGUGCGACAUCCAGUGCCGUUGAACCAGCCUGAUUAGUCGCAUGUUUAUCAGCCUUGCAUUGCAAUAGCAGUUUGAGCAUCUGUAUAAUCAAGCGCUUGAUGAUAUUAUACAAUCUAAAAUGAAUCUAUUUCUUUUGCUAAAAGUAGAAUUAAUUAGAGCAUAUGUGUAGAACCUCAUGUCGAUUAUCGCGGGCAGCUAUGUGCAAGGCAGUUUCGCCAUUCCUGUCUUUCUGAUUCACCACUUUCUCACGAUAGUCAGUCCUCCUAAGCAUCCCGCAUAAGAGUUUGAGUGCUUCUAAUUCAUUGUUUCUUGUUGCAAUAUGCAAGGCAGUCUCGUUUGUAGUUGUCACAUCUCGGACGCAUUCAGGACAAACCUUCAGAAAUCUGGCUAUGAGAUCAUGUUUGUGUUCUCUGGUUAUUGCGUAGUGCAAUGGAGUCUCACCCUUCUUCCCUUUGACACGAACAAGAUCUUUAUCAUUUUCCAAGAGAAGUAGCACAAGCUCUUUAUGCCCCUUUUCCACUGCAAGAUGAAUGGGACUAAAGCCUUGUUGGUUUAGCUUCCUAGCAAACGUGGGCUUUAAGGUCAGUAACUCCAUUGCAAAAUCAAUGCACCCUUCAUCUGCAGCUACGUGCAGUGGAGUGUCGAUAAACUCCACCUUCUCAAUGCGCUUCAAAACAUUACCAUCUUCCUGAAUUAAUCUAUACAGAUCACUAAUGUUUCCUUGCCGAGCAGCUGUUCUCAAACUUUCAUCCAUGUCAGAAAAACCAAAUGACUAUAGGAGGAAAUUUGAAAUAGUUUAAGGCCAAUUACAAUUAAUUGAAAGAUCGGAGACUUGGGUUAACAAGGAAACAUUAAGAAAGCAGAAAAACCAGAAUAUAUCAAUUGGGGACCGUAUUUUCGUUGAAGGCGCGUGGCAACUUUCUUAUAUGUGUUUUCUAUCCGGAGUGAAAGUCUAUAUAUGGCUUUUAAAUAUAUUUGUUUUUGUUUAUUGACUAGGAACCAAAUUUCCAAGGAUUAGUUGUCGGGAAUUUUCCAAAUGAUGAAGAUUGAUGCCGUUUAGCAUUAAAUCAACGGGACCAUACACGUACGAAAAUAAGAAAAUUUGACGAAAAUUUUCAUGACGUGUAUCAGGUCAUUUUUUUUUAAUGUUUUAUUGCAUUGCUCCUCACCUCAUAAUUAUUGGACGAGAAAAAAAAGUUUCAGUCAUAUACUUUGGCGGAUGCAAUAAAAUUCAAUAAUUGAUUAUGCUUUAUAGUAACGAAAUCAAUCCAUUAAAUAUUCAUUGAUUUAAAAAUAUUAAUUAUUUGAUUUGGGUAAAAAAAACUUGCUUAAGAUUUAUUUUGUUUAUUUUAUUUUAUUCAAAUGUACAAAAUUAUUUGAUUUGAUUAAAGAUCAAUAUUUUAUAUGUUUUUAAAAGUUAAAAAAAUAAUUAUAAUUGAAUAAAUAUACUAGAUAUAAUUGUACAAAUAGAUAUCUAUUUAUAUAAACAUAAUUAUCUAAAUACAUAUUUAAUUGUAAAGAUGAGUUUUUUCUCAAACCCAAGUAUUUUUAAUUUUAAUUCCUUAACUAAAACACUUCUAAAUUUUAUUCUAAAAUAUAGAUACUUUCACUCAAUUAAAUUCUACGUUAGUAUUUUAUUACACAUUCUACUUCCUUAACUUCUCUCUCUUGCCCCUCCCUACAAAGUUGCACUUGCAAGCUGAAGUCGAAAUGUUUAAAAAGUAUCUGAAAUCCGAUUACAACUUUCAUGAAAUGUUCAAAAAGUAAAACAUUAACUCUUCUAAUUCCAUCAAAUAUAAUCAAAGGUUUCAUAAUUCAUGUGAGGUAAACUAUUAACAAGAAUAACAAGUAUACUUUUGAAAGAGAGAGAUGAAAAGUAAAGCGAGAAAGUGGAAGGGGUACGGCAAGACGAACAGUUGCAAUCGAUCAAAGGGGUAUAGGCAAUUGCGUUCAGAGAUAGAACAAUGGAAAAGGAAGUUAAUCAUAGUCUUUGUCGAUAAUAUCGAUCCUCAAGGCAGGGAAGUAGAUAUUGUGGGAUAAGAUCAUGUAGCAAGGGAGAAUCCUAGAUGUCUACAUUCAUUUAAAGAGGAAAAUAUCUAGGCGUAGCAAAUUUGGCUUCUUUCGUUUCAAGGAUUUGCAUAAGGCUCUAUCUGUCAUAAAAGCAUCUGACGGAUCCGUUUGGAAUGGAUGGAGAUUGAGGGUGGGUCUAGCCAAGUACGAGAAAAGUCAUAGUGGAAUAUCUACAAUAAAUCAAAUGAAAAGCAAAACCCUCCUUUAGUUCUCCUAUCUCGCAUAUGAAAAUUAAGAAGGCUGGGAACAAUCUAUGCAAAAGGGGUAAAAAUGUAUGUUCUAGCGGAGCAUGUAACAAUGCAGGAAGGCAGCGUCAACGCAACAAACCCAAAAGGAAUAGCGCCACCAGCUCUGGCAGUAGAAGAUAAGAAUCAAAGGCAGAACCAGAUUAUUGUGGAAGAGGAAGACUUUUUGACGGAUUGGUUAGAGAAGUGUGCAGUGGCAGAGGUAAAAAACCCACAAGCAAUCCAUAUUCUUCAACAACACACAUUUAGUGAAUGAGUUAUGCACUUUUCUGUAAGAAUGAUGGGAGGAAGUAUGGUUCUACUACAGCUCGAAUCCAAAGAAGAAGUGAUUAGCAUGUUAGGAGAUGGUAAAACGUGACUUGAAGAAUGGUUCUUCUGGACAAAACCUUGGAGACAUGACUUAAUAAGUUAUGAAAAGUUUAUUUGGCUAAAGUUGGAAAACAUUCCUCUUCAUGCAUGAUGCAAUGAAAUUUUAAAAUGAUGGGUCAUAAAUGGGGCAACUUCUGUUAGGCUAAAAAGCUUCAAUUCAAUCACACCAGUGAAAGUGAAAUCAAACAAUCAAUCAAUCAUAUAAGAGACAAUAAUUUAAUGUAGUUUGAUCCAACCGACCUACGUCUAUAGAUGAGAAACAAGAUCCAUUAGUUAUAGAAAAUUAUAAAUAAAUAUCAAAUCAAAUCAAACACUCAUAACUAAUACCCAUAAACCCUUUCAAUCUUUUCUAGUCCUAUGGAGUAUUCUCAACCCAAACAAAUACAUCCCAUGUGCACUCUUUCAACACAAACAAACACAAACCCAUAUGUACCCAUUCAUCAUACCUAAGUAGACCCUCUCAAUCUUCUUUAGUCCACUCCUAAACAUUCAAACUUAUAUACCUAUAAUACGUAAAUCCCCAAUACUCUUAUGUGUGUCUAUCCUACAAAACCUUACAAUUUUCUUAUUUUUUUUCUUAUACCUAAUCUUGUAGAGACUUCAACUAUUUAUAAUUAUACAAACUUGCCUAUUAAAAAUCUUUUUUUUUUAGAAUUCUUCUUCUGCAAGUCAAACUUGCCUAUUAAGAAUCUCUUUCUUUUUAGAAUUCUUCUUCUAUAAGUCUUUUUGUCUAUCAAAUAAUAUAUGACCAAUCUUAAAUAAAUCUCUUAUGGGAUUUGAGUCAUUAUUCCCAACAAUUGACUUGUUGGGCAAAAAGCCCCAAUCUAAUUCGUGUCAACAGAAGUAUAAUCAAAUAAUCAAUAAAAAAUAUAAGAGAUUUAUUUGUGAUUAGCCAGAUAUUUCUUGAUGGAUAAAAAACUUUACAAAAGAAGAAUUCUAAGAGAAAAGGUAUUCUUAAUAAGCAAAUUUGACCUACAGAAGAUGAAUUCUAAAAAGAAAGAGAUUCUUAAUAGGCAAGUUUGACUUGCAAAAGAAAAAUUCUAAAAGAAAAGGGAUUCUUAAUAAGCAAGUUUGUAUAGUUAUAAAUAAGUAAAGUCUCUACAGGGUUAGGUGUGAUAAAAAAAAUGUACGAGAGUUGUAGGGUUUUAUGGAAUAGACAAUCCUAGAGAUUUACAUCUUAUGAGUGUGUAAAUUAAAUGUUUUGAAGUGGACUAAAUGAGAUUGAGAGGGCUCACAUAGGUAUGAUGAAUGGAUACAUAUAAGUUUGUGUUUAUUUGUGUUAAAAAUUAUAUUAUAUUAUAAAAAUUACAAUUUAAAAUCAAAAUUAAAAAAUCUUGUUAUAUAGAUUAAAUGUAUAAAUUUUAAAAAAAAUUAAUUAAAUUUGAUAUAUUUUUAAAUAGAUAUUUUUAAUAAAAAAACUUAACAAAAUUUUUUACUAUUAAAUAAAUAUUUAUCAAAUUUGAAUAUAAAUUAUAUUUUUAAUAAUUUUUUAAUAUAUAUUAAUCUUUUCAUUAAAUUCAAUUGAUUUUUAUUAAAUUAUUUUUAAUAAAAAAUUUUACAAACUUUAUCUAAAUAAGUUUAUUAAGAAUCUCCCUCCCUUAAUAUUACCUAGCCACCGACAUAUUCUCGUUUGUUCUUUCUUCUAACAACGUAACUUCACCAUCGUCCAAGUUGCCUUUGGAGUUUUUAUAUAUAGUCAAAGGAAACUUUCGAAAAGGAAAGUAAAGUUGCUUGUUUCAUUGAAGAUAAUAUUGAAGUCCACAUCACUCUGGACAACUCCUCCAAGUUAUUUCCCAUUAAUUUCCAUUCCGCGUAUGAAUUUCUUGGAUCAGACAAAGUGAUUUAAUGAACUUUUUUCUUGGUUGGUUCCUAGUCAUAGUAACAGCCCCCCCCCCCCCCCAAAAAAAAAAAAAAAAAAACACAAAAGUAAUGUGAAUACUAACUAUUAGUAACGAUCCUUACAGUGUAAUAUUCAGAUGGAUGUGCUAAGUUCCAAAACCCAUUUUCUCCACUGCAUUUUUUUCUUUGACUUCCUUGGCUGCCAAAGGUUUCUCUGAAGUAUCUUCUUCAAUUUUUUUAAAUUUCUUUUUUGAAGCAAAUUCUAAGAAAAACAAAAGGCAAGACCUAAUUGAAUGAAAAUUGUCUAUCAAUGAUAUCUUUAAUUUUUAAAAUAAUAUAAAUUAUUUGAAUUUAAGUUUAUAUAUUUUUCUUAUUUAUGUAUGAAGAUAUAAAUAUAUGUAAAGUACAAUAUUAAUUAAAAAAAAAGAAUAGUCUUUUAAAGAGCUAAUUAUUUGACACUCAUCAAGCAAUUAAUAAUAUUUUAUAAUUUUUGUAAUUCUUUUAUAAAAAUAUUUUUUACAAAGUAUUUAUAUUAUUUUUUAAAAUUUUUUUGUAAUUUUUUACCCAAAAACUUUUUUUUAUGUAAAAGUUUAUUUAAACAAUUUAGUUUUACCUUUAUUUUUAAUUAAUAUAAAAAAAUUAUUAAACAUCCAAUCAUAAGAUGACAAAUGUCAUCAAAUUGGAUGCCUUACAAAUAAUAAUAAAUUUGGAGACUAUUUUUUUAUUUAAAGGUACAAGGUUCUUGAAUUCUACCAAGUUCAUCCUUCUCUAGAUCGAUUUUAAAUAGAUUUAUUAAUGUUGGGUCUAACAAAUUCAUGAGAAGUUAUCUUUUCAUAGCCUUUCAGUGGAUUCAAACCUAGAUAACACACCUUGUUUGCCAUUGAAAUUAACCAUAUGUUAAUAGAUUUGGGAACUACUUUAAAUAAUAAUAAUAGCUUUAUUAAAUUUUAAAAUAAAAAUUAAUUGAAGGGUAAUUAUAAAGCAACAUGUGUCAUAAAAUGGAAACUUCAAUUGAACAUUUAUUUACUGUUUCAAUUAGGGAUAACUUUGUAUUAUGGUAUAGAUUUUAGAAUAUGUAAAAUAAUAUUAUAUAUAUAUAUAUAAAUAUUUCUCAACACUAAUGGAGUUCAAAUUUUAGAGAUUUAAGAUAGUAUCGAGUCUAGUAAUUAGUAGCUUUUACCCUUUAUGAAAAAUCAAAUAUUAAAAUUUAAAAGAUUAUCUCUAUAUAUGGUUGAUAAUGAUGAGCACUUGUUUUAAUAAUAAAAGUAAGGUUUUAAAAUUUACAAAUUUAAGUUCAAAUUGCACCACAUAUUCAUUUAAUUUAAUUUUAUAUUGGUUUUGCUUAUUAAUUUAUUUUUUUACAUAGAAUGGGCAUAAUUUAUAGAGGAAGAGAGAGGAGAUCCUAGUUUCGAAAUCAAGAUUUUUACAUUGUUCUAAAAAUUCUUUAAUCAUUAAAGCAAGAAGUUGAGGAUAAAGUAUUAUGUAAUAUAUUAGUUAAAUUCAAACAAAAUAUUACACACACUUUGUAAUAAUAAUGUUAAUGUUUAUGUAAUUAGAUAAUAUAUAUAUAUAUAUAUAUAUAUAGGGGAGGAAUCAACUUACACUAGUGAUUUCUAUAUUACACAAAAUAUUACACACACUUUUUAUUAACAAUUGAUUUCAAUAGAUCCAAGGGAUGAGAGACAUAAAUGAAAAAAAAAAGUUUUACACUUUUUUUUAAUUAUUGAUUUUAAUAGAUCUAUGGAAUGAGAAACACAAGUGAAAAAGAAAAGUUUAACCUCAUCCCUUAAAUUUAUUGAAAUCGAUAGUUAAAAAAAUAUAUAAAACUUUUUUGGUGUAACUUAAUUCUUCUCCAUCCAUAUAUGUAUAUAUAUAUAUAUAUAUAUAUAUAUAUAAUUGAUGGUCUAUGCUUUAGAAAUUCUAAACCAACAAUAGCAUAGAUAUGUAGUGAUAUCAUGUUUUUAACAUCUUAAACUAAAACUUUUAAAUUAAUUGAAUAUUUUUCCUAAGAAAAAAAAAAGAAUAUUUUCAAUCAUAUGCAUUUUAAGAUAAGAAAUACAUACAUAUAUAUAUAUAUAUAUAUCCUUUUAACAAAAAUUCAAAAAUAUAAAAAAACUUAAAUUUGUAUUUACUAGACCAUGUAAUAUACCAUAAUUAACAUUGAUACUUUUAUAGAUCACAAUGCAAAUAUAUAAUAUAAUUAUAUAUUAUUAGUAAAAAUAUAGGUAUUUUUAGUAAAAAAAUUUAAAAAAGUUUUUACUAUUAAAUAAGUAUUCAUCAAAUUAAAAUUAUAAAUGAUAUUUAAAAAAAAAAAAUUUUACAUAUUAUUGAUUUUUCAAUGAACUCUAUCAAUCAAUUGAUUUUUACUAGCAAACCAUGGCUAAAAGCAAGGAAAGCUCUGUUGCAGGGAGAGUUGGCCAUGGUUUUGUCGUCUUUGGUAUAGAAAAUGAACAAUUAAUCUGAUGGAAAGAAUUGAGAAAAAUGAAGAUGAUGGGUCCUUGUUUGCUUCAAAUAGAGAUUAGUUCAUAUCUCGGAUGACUUCAUUUACUAGCAUUUUCAGUCAACGGGAAGGUAUGAACAAGUUGGAUCAAGAUUAAGACCACUUGACAUUGACAGCUGCCAUGGUCAUUUUUGAAGGAAGUGAUUCAGUGAAUUAAACUAUAUUGGCUUGGUUUUUCUCCUUUGAUUUGAUUUAUUUUUUCCCAUUUUCCCCGAUAUUUUCAAAGUAGGGCCUCAUUCUGAAUAAAUUUAAGAUAACACUAUUUUUUUUCCCAAUAGUCACACUAUCCCUCAAUUUUAACUUUCCCAAAAUUUCUACAAGGAUUACUAUGAGAUGAUUCUGAUAAUUAAAAAGUAAUUAAAUCUUAAAUGCAUUUAGUUGAUGCAGGGGAUUUUAAAAUCGUAUGAAAAAAAAUUAUAUUUAGACAAAACAUGAGAGAUAAGUGGACCGUCUUAACAAAAUAAAAAAUGGUGGAUGGGUUGAAAUAUAAUUAUUUAUUUUAAGAAAAAUUGGAACCCCUCCCUUUGAGUGGGCGAAUUUACGCCUACCAUUGAGUCAUGCUCAAGUGUGCAGUUGUUUCUCAUAUAAAAAUAUAAAUCACAAAUUUGAAGAUCAUUUAAUCCAAGUUCUACCAUCUAGUUUUCUCCUUAUUUUUCGUACUUUUGUCAUUAGCACUUCAGCAUCAUUACCCAGUUGUGUUGAAUUCUCUUCUGGCUUUACAAAACAGUUAUUUCAUUCAGUAUUUUCAGACAUUUAAUUUCUAAGUCAAACUGAAUAUUUUCAUAUAUACAAAAGUGGAAAUCAUCCAAUUGCCUGACUUUGAAUCUUAAUCAACUUUAGAAUAAUUUUGUAAGCUUCCCCCUUUUUUCCUGCGCACAUCUAACAGCUGCCUCUUCAAACAACCUAUAUCCUUCUUUACGACAUUUAUUUCUUGCUUGACCAGCUCAAUUCUAUCUCUCAGCUGCAAAUAUUCCUUUUUGUCUUCAUCAGAUGAUGCCUUAUUCAUCAGCUGUAUAACAAAAUGAAAGGAUUGAUAAUCAGCAAGGUGAUUAUAUACGGCUUUUGGCACCAAUUAGCAAAUUUUAGGUGUAGUAGUAUUUGAAAGACUUUAGUUCAUGUUACCUUAAUUUGAUGUUUGAUGACAUUUUUUGACGGUAAAGAAUUCCAAGUCUUUCCCUUCACAGGAGCAUUAGCAGAGGCUUUAUCUCUUGCACAUUUCAGCUCUUUAAACUCUUUCAGAACUUGCUUUUCAUCAACCGUUAUUGCUGGUUUUGGGAUGAAAUAAUUCCUAUGAAUAUUCCAGUGCAACUCCCAUAUCUGUUUACAGAGCUCAAGAAAAUGUAAUAAAUAAAAAAAGAAACCUUAAGAUAUAAUUAUUAUCAUUAUUUAUAUUGGGAAUUGAGAGGUUUCAACUCAGCUUUUUAAACAAAAUAAAAAGCACGCUUCAAUUAUUAAAUCAAAUAUUUGGUUGGAUUAAUUUCUAAUUUUUUAUCAUUUAAAAAAUCUUUAAUUGUUUGAUUAUCAAUUCUAAUAAUAGAAUUUUCAGUUAUUAAAUAAAUAUGAAAUUUAAUUACUGUAUUUUUUAUAGCAAAUAAUUUUUUUUUCAAAUAUAAUAUACUUUAAUUUAUUGGGUUUAAAUUUUCCUAAAUUAUAAUCAUAAAUUAAUUCUUAAUCGUGUACCUUUAGUUUAAGUAUACAUCCUAAAUGUUGGUAUGAGGCGUGUGUUUCGAGAAUAAGUAAUUCUCCUAAUUUAGGAAGAUAUACUUUAGGUAUAAAUUUAUGAUCUGAUUUUAUUUGCUUAAUAAUAUCAUAAUCAUUUUUUAUCCAAGAAAAAGGUGUAUCCUUUUUUAGUUUUUCUUGUAAAACUUUCUCAUCUUUAGAAGAUUCUUAAUGAAUUGCUUUACAAAAUUAAAAAAGUCAUAGAAAACUUUGAAGUUGUUUUUUUAUCUUUUAGUUUUUCUAAAAUUCAUUAAUUUUUAUUAUAAUAUGGCCUUGUAAAGUAAGACUUUCUAAAAAUAAAUUUAAGUUUAAGAACUCUAUAUUAGCUUUUUCAAGCUCUAUCUUUCUAGAUUUUAAUAUUAUAUCAUGUUUUAUAAAUUCUUGAGCUAUGAGAUUUAGGUGUUUCCUGUGCUUAUUUAAUGUUUCAAAAAAUAUAAGUAUAUCAUCAAUAUAUACUACAUAAAAAUCUUUAUAUUUUUCAAAAAUUGUAUCCAUCCAUCUUUAAAAGAUUUGUGGAGCAUUACAAAAGCAUUACAAAAUUCGAAAGGCAUAACUCUCCAUUGAUAAUGGCUUUUAUGAGCACUAAAAGCUGUUGAAAAUUUUUUAAUUUUCAGUUAACAUUAUUUGCCAAAAUUCAAAAUUUUACUAAAAUAUUUAACAUUUUUUGCUAAAUUUAUUAGUACAUCUUUUCUUGGAAUAAAAUAACCAUCAAAUAUUAAAUGUUGAUUAAGCCUGUUAUAGUUUAUUACAUUAUGGCUUUUCCUCUUUUUUGCUUAGCAUGAUUUCUUUCCAUAAAUACUGGGCUUGAAUGUGGACUAGUAGUGAGCUUUAAAUUCCAUUUUGUAAAAGCUCAUUAAUUUGUAUAUCAAAUUUGUCUAUAUUUUGUUUAGUAUAGAUAAUUGGUUUUACUCUAAUUAUUUUCUUUGAAUCAAGAAUUUUUAAACUAAGACUUCUAGACUAUAAUUUUAAUUGUUCAUCACUUAAGCUUUCUUUUAAGAUUUUAUAUAACCAGUGUGUUUCACUUAUUGUUUUAAUUUCAAUUUGCUUGGUUUCAGAUAGGAAAUCAUAGUCACAUAUAUGUUUAUGAUUUUUUACUAGUGGUAGUUUAUAGCUUUUUUAUUUAUAGGAAAUACAAUAUUAUUAGGAUUUAAACAGUAAAGUAAAUAAUUGUAUAUAAAAUUAUUUUCUAAUAACAUAUCACCAGGCAUAAAAGGAAAAUAUAAAAUUUUUGGAAUUCUGAAUUUUUUACUUUAUAUCUUAUUAUAGUUUCUUUUCCAUUAAUUCCUAUUACUGCUAUAGAAUGUUUAAUUGGCUCCUAUUUUUCCAAUGGUAAAGCAUUACUUCUACAAUCACAUAUAGUAACUUCAGUAUCUAUUAAAAAAUUUAAAAAGUAUCAUUUAUACUGUUUAAAUUUAAAUUUUGCUUCAACAUAAUUAUAAUGCCUUUUUGGUUGAUUUUUUGAAAAUGUAAUAACUUCAUCAUUACCUAUUUUUUAUUGGUUGAUUAAGCUAGACUUCGAAUAUCAUCUCUUCUAGUAUUUUCAAAAGAAAUUAAAUUUAAAACAGAGUUUACUGAAUUGUAAACAUAGUUUACAUGUCUUUGACUAAUAGUAUUGCCAAGAAAUAUAGGGAUAUUUAUAUUUUUUUUACCUGUUGAUUAAGGUUGAAAAUGAAAAGAUGGUCUGUAUGAUUGUUCACUAGCAAUACUCUCAGCAUCUUUAUUAUCUCUAUUUGAGAAUAAAGGUAUGGAAGAGGAUGACGGUAGAACUAGAUUGUUACUAGAACUACUUUCUUCAUGAUUUUUAAAAUAAAGGUUAUUUCCUCAUGCAAAAAAUUCAAUGGGUUUUAUUAUUUUAUCAGAAGAAAUAGGUUUUGUAAUUUCCUCUAAUAACCAUCCAAUUGGUACUUAUAGAUCUCUAAGAUUUAUUAGUCUUGGUUUAAUUUUUGAAUCAAAAGGUUUGGGUUCAAAUAUUUCAAUAAUAUUAGAAUUUAUUUCUUUAAGAGAUGUGAAAGUAUGAUUAGUAAAUUCAUUAAUAGCUAUCAGUUUAUAGACAGAUCAUGAGCCACAUUUCUAAUUUUUGGCUUUUUUGUCAUUAUUUUAAGUCUAAGGCAAUCUUUUAUUAAUGGGUCAUUAGUAGAAAUAAAAUAGUUUGGUUUUACUUUAAACCAAAUAGCUCCUGAUAUAAUAUUUGAUUGUAUUCCUCCUAUUAGUGCUUUAAUAGGAUUUUCAAAUCUUUUAUCUACUAAUAUUGCUAUUAUUGGUAUAUCAUUACCAACUUUGAGUAAUGCUUUUAUAGUUAUCAUAAUUAUUCCUAAAUGUAUAUAUCUCAUUUUAGGAUAUUUUUGUUUAAUUUUCCUAAUUUUUUAUCUAGUAAAUAAAAAAAUAUUUAUAGAUCUUUGAUUAGAAUCAGGAGCUAUGUUAUUUCCACUAAAAUUUUCUAUCUGUCUAUGUGUCCAUGGUUUGAACUUUGAAAAGAUAGAAAGUUUAUAUAUUUCAUCUUUCUUUAAUGAUUGCAGUUUUCUAACAAUUCAUCUAAAAUAGUAAUAUCGUGUCCAAGACAUCACUUAAUUUUGUCACUUGCUAUUCUUCAGUAGGUAUAUCUUUAGUUUCAGAACUAAGUUGAUUCUUAGCUUCUGAUAUAGAAUUACUACUAGAAUUGAUUAUGAAAAUAUACUCAUCAUCAUUUGAAUCAGAAUUUGUUUUAGAAAUUAAUUCAUAAAUAAUUUUUUCUUCAGAAAACUUCUUUUCUAAAACAAUUUUCUAAAUCUCAUUUUUCAAGAGUUUUGAUAAAUUUUUUAACAUUUUUUCCUUUGUUAGGACAUUGGGGUGCAAUAUGACAUUUUUCAUCACAAAUAAAACAUUUGCAUUUGGAUUUGUUUUUAGAAGUUUUUCUUCUCACAUAUUUAUUCUUUUUGUCAAAUUUAUGCUUUUUAGGCUCCAUUUGACCUAUUUAUAUCUUCUUUUCUUUUUGAAUUUUUUAGAAUAGGUUUUAGAUUAAGAUUUACAUUCAAAUUCGUAUUCAUUUUCUAAUAUUUUUGUGCAUUGUUUAUUACUUAAUCUACUUUUCACUUGCUUUACAAGCUUUGUCUUAAGGCAAUGUUCUAUAAUUUGUUUAGAAGCAAAAUAAACUCUAUUUCCUAUAGAAUCUAAAUAAUCUCUAUUUUCUACUAUAGGGUUAUGGGGUUCCAAAUAUUUGGGAUAUUGUUGAUUAUAGAGUUCAUCCAACGAUGAUGAUAAUUUAUGAAAAUAUUAUUCUUUCCAAAAUUUUGAAUGUAAUUCAUCCAAUUUUUGGUAUUCAUGAAAAAACUUUUUAGAAAAUUCUUUUAAUUGUCUUAUAUCACUUAAUUUUAUCUUGGUUAAUAACUAGUUUCACUGUUUUGAUCAGUUGGUUCCAUUCUUCCAUAAAAUUCAUUUUGUAAGAUUUUUUAAAAAAUUUGGUAUAGUUGUAAUGAGCUCUUUUUACUUAUGAAUUUUCCCAUUUUUGCCAAAAUUGCAAAGCAUCCCUUUGAAAUGUUCCACAAAAAUAAUUUAGAAAAAAAUUUUUAGACCAAGUGUCUUUAUUAGUUGUUUACUACAAUAGUCAUAGAUUGUGCCCAAUCUUCUAUGGUUUUUCUAUAGUCAUUUAUGGAGAUUUUUGAAAGAUCUAAAUACAUACCUCAUUGAGCUAUAUUUCUUUUAUUUAAAGAUUCUAUAAAAGUAAAUUGUGGUAUAGGUUUUGUAAUAGAUUCAGAAGAUGUUCGAAUUUUAUUUUAUUUCAUCUUUAUAAAUAUCAUAUUCUAUUCUAUUUUCAAACCUACUUUGAUCAUCUAUUUCUUGGUUAGAAACUUCUUCUACUUUUCUUUUUUCCUUAUCAACUUUUUGUUGAUCAAGAUCCAUAGGUGUAGGUCUAGUAUUGAUAUCUCCAUCUACUUUUUCAGAGGAUGAAGAUUAUGUGCUACUAUAUUAUUUUUUUAGUUCUAUGUCAGUAGUUAAGAUUUUGUCUUUGUCUUUGUCUUCUUCCUUUGAACUACUUUCAUCGGUAGUAUCAUAAUUAAACAUAUAAUAAUAAUUAAAUUUUUUAAAUGGUUCUAUAUGUGUUUCAUAAAUUUCUUCUAUCAUAUUUAAAUAAUCAAUCAUUUCUAUAGGAACAAUUGCUUUUUUCAUUUUAUACCUAAGAUAUUUUAUAAAACUUUUAUGGGAUUUUAAAUCCAAUUGUUUUGCUUUAAAAAAUUUCGUUGGUUGGGAAGAUGAUGGUUUAUCAUCUUUAAGUGUAAAAAUAGCAUUACCAUAAUAUAAUGGUCUAAAGUUAUUUGUUUGACUUUUAUCAACUUCUAAUAAUUUAAAUUUUUUAUUAAUAUUUACUAAUAACUGUUUAGAUUCUUGGUUUAAAUCUAAACUAGUAACUUGUCCUAAACUAUCUAUUUUUUAUUCUAGUAUAUCAACUUUAGUGAACAUAUUUUUAAAGAAAAUAUUAGAUAAAUCAAUUAAACUAUUUAUACUAUGACUGAUUGCUAGAAUAUGAUUUUUUAAUUGAAAAUCCACAUGUAGACUAUGAUUAUGAAGGUUUUUUGAGCAAACAUAGUUUUCAAUUUUUUGCUACAUGUUAUUGGUAUCUAAAACCGUUUGUAUACCAUACCAAGAUCUCUAAAGCUAGAUUAAAAGGCAACAACAAAGCCACAACACUAGCACAGAGAUAGUAAACAGAUAUGAGUUUUAAAACAUAAAGCUAAAAAUUAAAAAUUGAGAAAGUAAAGAAAUACUUAUAAAGAUAGCUUGAAAUUGGAAACCUCAUAUAGAAUAUAGAUAUAUCAACCUUGAUAUAUAUAAAUACAAACUAGAAAUAGUUAAGGUUCUUUGACCGUAGAUAAGAUUCUGAUACCAAUUACAAGAGAAAAGGGGAUGUGAGAAAGAGAUAUUACAAGAGAGUAUAGAAAAGAGGGAGAGAGAUGGGCUAGGUAUCCGAUCCCUCUCUAAUACAAUCUUCAAUAUUUAAGCUUAACAAAUUUUGUUCUUAUCUAAUUAUGAAGUUAGGGUUGAAGUUAGGCUUAAAGUUAGGUAGAUAUUUAUUACAAAAGAGAUAUUUAUAUAUCCUUAUUUGCUUUUGGUAGAUUUGAAAAAUACCUAUAAGUAUAAUUUAUGUGUAUGAAAUAUCUGAAUAUAACAUUGUCCAUAUAAAAAUGUGUUUUAUAACUCGACAACAUCUAUUUUAACAAUUGGUUUUAGAUUAAUUUUUGGUACAAAGAAAUGCCCAAACCUGGGGACUAAGAUAAGAGAAAUUGUACCAGACGAAUAAAACAUUGAAAUGAAGUUAUUGCUUUCUUGUUUUCAAAUUAAUUAAUAGAGCUCUUAUUAUGUAACUUCUUGUUUUAGGCAAGGAAAUGUGCCCAAAAUUGUGUUAUAUUGUUUGAAUUGCUCUUGAUCAAAAUAAUAUUAAUUAUUUGAACUUAACUGUAUAUAUAUAUAUAUAUAUAUAUUUAUUUAUUUAUUUAUGCAUGAAGAUAUAAAAAAUCAUAACUUUCAACUUUUUUAAAAUUUUCAUUUAAGAUUUUUUGUAGAUAAAUAUAUUUAACUAUUCAAUUUAAUUUAGUAAAAAAUAGGUAAAUUGAUAUAUUUUAGUAGAUUUUCUUCUAAACAAAUCUAAAUUAUUUAAAUUUAGGUGUAUAUAUAUUUCCUUUUUUAUAUAUGAAGAUAUAAAUACAAAUAUAAAGUAAAACAUUAAUUAAAAAAAAAGGGAGUCUUCUAAUGGGCUAAUUACUUGACACUCAUCAGGCAAUUAUUAAUUUUUUUUAUAAUUUUAAAUAAUUUUUUUAGAAAAAUAUUUUUUGAAAAAUAUUUUUAUUAAUUUUUUAAAUUUCUUUUGUAAUUUUGACCCAAAAACUUUUUUAUCUAGUGCUUAUUUAAAUAGUUUAGUUUUAUCUUUGUUUUUAAUUAAAAUAAAAAAUUAUUAAACAUCCAAUCAUAAGAUGACAAAUGUCCCCAAAUUGGAUGCCCUUAUGAAUAUUAGUAGAUUUGAUGACCACUUUUUUUUUUUUAUUUAGUGGUACGAGGUUGCUAGAUUCUACCAAGUACAUCACUUACUAGACUGGUUUAAAUAAGUUUAUUUAUGUUAGGCCUAGCAAAUUCAUGAGAAGGCAUCUUCUCGUAGCCUUUCAGCAGAUUCGAACGUAGGUAACAAAAAGGAAACAUACUUUUUUUACCACUUGAAUUAAUCAUAUUUUGAUAGAUUUGGAAACUACUUUAAAUAAUAAUAAUAGAUUUAUUAAAAUUUAAAAUAAAAAUUAAUUGAAGGUAAUUAUAAAGCAACAUGCAUCAUGCAAUAAAAGCUUCAAUUGAACAAUUAUUUACGGGUAUAAUUAGAGAAUAAUUUUUAUAUUAUGGUAUAGAUUUUACAAUAUGUAAAAUAACAAUUUAUGUAAAUAUUGCUCAACACUAAUGGAGUUCAAAUUUUAGAGAUUUAAGAUAGUGUUGGGUCUAGUAAUUAGUAGCUUUUACCUUUUGUGAAAAAUCAAAAAUUAAAAUUUAAAAGAUUAUCCUCUAUAUAUGGUUGAUAAUUAUGAGAUUUUCUUUUAAUAAUAAAAGUAAGGGUUUAAAAUUUAUAAAUUUUAGGUUCAAAUGGCACCACAUAUUCAUUUAAUUUAAUUCUAUAUUGGUUUUACCUAUUAAUUUAUUUUUGUACAUAGAAUGGGCAUAGUUUAUGAGGGAAGAGAGAGAAGAUCUUGGUUUGGAAAUCAAGAUUUCUACAUCUUGUUAAAACUCUUUAAUCACUAAAUCAAGAAGCUGAGGAUAAAAUAUUUUGUAAUAUAUUAUUUAAAUUCAAACAAUAUUACACACACUUUGUAAUAAUAAUGUUAAUGUUUAUGUAAUUAGAUUAUAUAUAUAUAUAUAUAGAGGGAAGGAAUAAUUUACAAAUGUAUAAAACAUUUUAGUUUAACAUUUUUUUUCUAAUUAUUAUUUUAAUAGAUCUAAAGGAUGAAAGACACAAGUACAAAAAAAAAGUUUAAUCUUAUCUCUUGAAUAUAUUAAAAUUAAUAAUUAAAAAAAUAUAUAAAAUUUUUUUUGGUGUAACUUAUUUCUUCUCUCUCUCUCUCUCUCUAUAUAUAUAUAUAUAAUUAGUGGUCUAUGCUUUAUAAAUUAUAAACCAAUAAUAAACUAGAUAUGUGGUGACAUCAUGUUUUUAACAUCUUAAACUAAAACUUUUAAAUUAAUUCCUAAGAAAAAAAAAAGGGAAUAUUUUUCAACCAUAUGCAUUUUAUGAUAAGAAAUAUAUACAUAUAUAUAUCCUUUUAACAAAAAUUCAAAAAUAUAAAAAACUUAAAAUUGUAUUUACUAGACAAUGUAAUAUACUAUAAUUAACUUUGAUACAUAUUUAGAUCUCAAUACGAAUAUAUAAUAUACUUAUAUAUUAUUAGUAAAAAAAUAAGUAUUUUUAAUAAAAAAACUUAAUAGAAUUUUUAUUAUUAAAUAUUUAUUCAUCAAAUUUAAAUUAUAAACGAUAUUUUUAACAAUUUUUUUUUACAUAUUAUUGAUCUUCUUAAUAAACUUCAUCAAUCAAUUAAUUUUUAUUUUUUAUUUUAAUUUUUAUUAAAUUAUUUCUAAUAAAAAAUUUCGCAAACAUCAUUUACAUAACUUCGCAAAAAAUUUCCCUACCUUAAUGUUACCUAGCCACCAACAUCUUCUCUUUUGUUCUUUCUUCUAAUAAAGUAACAAUAUAAAAAAGGUUUAAGGUCCACAUAAUUUAACUUUACCAUCGUUCAAGUCGCCUUUGGCCUUUUUUCUAUAUAGUCAAAAGAAACUUUCAUAAACGACAAUAGAGUUGCCUUUUUCAUUGAAGAUAUUAUUGAAGUCCAGAUCACUCAAAUCUUAUAAGAGAUUUGUUUAAGAUUUAUUAGAUAUUGUUUGAAGGACAAAUCUGACUUGCAAAAAAAUAAUUAUAAAAGAAAAAAGAUUGCAAGUUUGUAUGAUUUUAAAUAAGUAAAAUCUCUAUCAGGUUAGGUAUGAGACAAAAUGCAAGAGAAUUAUAAGGUUUUAUGAAUAGAUACCUCAAAAGACUACCAAAGAUUUACUUUUUAUAGGUGCGUAUAUUUGAAUGUUUGUGAGUAGACCAAAAUAGAUUGAGAAAGUCCACAUAGUUAUGAUGUAUGGGUGCAUAUGGAUAUGUGUUUAGUUGUGUUGAAAUGAUGUAUAUUGGUAUAUAUUUGUUUGGGUUGAGAAUACUCCAUAGGACUAGAGAAGAUUAAGAGGGUUUAUGAAUAUUAAUUGUCGAGUGGUUGAUAUAUUUUUAUGUAUGUUUAUAAUUUUCUACAACUAAUAGAUCUUGUUUCUCAUCUGUGUACGUAGGUCAGUUAGAUCAAAUCACGUUAAAUUAUUAUCUUUGUUUGUUUAAUUAAUUAUUUCAUUAUACUUCCACCGACUUGAUUGGAUUAAGGCCUUUUUGACUAACAAUAUGCACCUACUACUCCUCCAAGCCAUUUCUCAUUAAUUUCCAUUCCACGUAUGAAUUUCUUGGUGGGUUCUUAGUCAUUAAUUUGAAUAGUAACGACGAUUAGUAAUGACCCUUAUAUUUUAAUUUUCAGAUGGAUGUACUAAGUUUCCAAAAACCAUUUUAUCCAUUGCAAUUUUUUGUUUGACUUUCCAUGGCUGCCAAAGGCUUCUCUGAAGCAUCUUCCUCUGGCUUCAAAUGGAACCAUGAUGUCUUUCUAAGUUUCAGAGGCGAAGACACUCGGAAGAACUUCUCGGAUCAUCUCUACGCAGCUCUGGUGAGACAUGGAGUGGUUACCUUCAGAGAUGACGACGAACUUCCCAGGGGAAAAGACAUCUCCUCGGAGCUCCUUAAAGCAAUUGAAGAAUCAAAACUUUCUAUAGUGGUUUUCUCUAAAAACUAUGCUUCUUCCAGGUGGUGUCUUGAUGAGCUAGUCAAGAUUAUUGAGUGCAAAAACACAACAGGCCAGGUUGUUAUUCCAGUCUUCUACGAUAUUGAUCCAUCUGAUGUCCGGAAACAGAUCGGAAGUUAUGAAGAAGCUUUUGCUAAACACAAAGAACGGUUUAAAGAUAAGAUGGAAAGGAUCAAAAAGUGGAGAAAAGCCCUUACAGAAGCCGGAAAUUUAUCCGGCUGGGACCUUCGAAACAUGGCAAAUGGGUAAUAUUUAAUUUCCAAGAUGAAUCAUCCAAAAAAUUCUAAGAUAUAUAUAUAUAUAUAUUUACAUUUACAUCUUCGUUUUUAAAUAAAAAAUUAAAUGAAACUAAUUUUAAUUGCUAGUUAGUUCUAUUAAUAUUAUAAUAUGCAUCUAAUUUUAAGUUCUUGUAGUCAAUUUAUAUCUUACUAUAAAAUUUUUUUUUUUAUGUUUGAAGAUUUAAACCUUAAAAUUAAAAGCGAAAAUUCUACCCAAAUUAUAAAUACCUGAAAAAAUGUGUAAUUUAUUUCUGUUGUAAAAUUAUUUGUUUGAAGUGCAAAACGAGAAUACAUAAUAUAUAAUUAUUGGAUUAUAAUUAAUCAAUUAUAAUUUAGUAUUGUGAAGUGUCCAUCAAAAAACUAUUUAAAUCUCAUUAUAUUUUAAGUGAUGAACUCUUAAAUAAUUUUUUAUUAUAAUUGAUUAAUUGUAGUAUCGUAAUCAAGAUAAUUAUAAAAAUUAUAUAACCAAAAGUGGGUGUUUACUGAUAAUCAAAUUUACUUAUGUUUUUCUUGUGUUCUUUCAUUGCAAAUAAUUUUACAGAUAUGAAUCGAAAUUCAUCCAAGAGAUUGUCGAUGAUGUUAUCAGAAAAUUAAACCGUAAUAUUCGCAAUGGCUUGCACGUCGCCACUCACCCAGUAGCUCUAGAAUCACGUAUCAAAAGGGUGAUGAGAUUACUAGAUAUUAGAUCUGAAGAAGUUCGCGUAGUGGGCAUCUAUGGAAUGAGUGGGAUAGGUAAGACCACCAUUGCAAAAGCUGUGUACAACCUAAUGGUCUGUGAAGGAUUUGAAGGAUGCAGUUUCCUGUCAAAUAUUGAAGAUGACUCGCAGCAACCUAAUGGUCUUGCUAGGAUGCAAGAGAAGCUCCUUUCUGAUAUCUUGAAUGGGAAAAAAUUCGAGAUAGAUUAUAUUGACAGGGGUGUCAAUUUAAUCAAGGAGAGGCUUUGUUGUAGAAGAGUUUUUAUAGUUCUUGAUGACUUGGUUGUGUCAGCACAAUGGAGACCACUAGUUGGUGAUAGGAAGUGGUUCGGUCGAGGAAGUAGGAUUCUCGUCACAACCAGAGAUGAACAUUUGCUGACUGAAUUAGAGGUGGAUGAAAGAUAUAAGGUUCAACAAUUGAAUCAUAAGGAUUCAAUUCAGUUUUUAAGUUGGUAUGCAUUUAGGAGGCCUGCUUCAGAUAAAGAUUUCUUCGAACUUUCCAACAGUUUGGUGGAGCAUGUUGAAGGACUGCCGUUAGCUCUUGAAAUUUUUGGUUCUUCUUUGUUUAAAAGAAGCCUACCAGAAUGGGAAAGUUUUCUGGAAAAAUUACAGAAGGUACCUCACCAAAAAAUUCAAAAGAAGCUUAGGAUAAGCUUUGACACACUAGAUGAUGAUUUAUUGAAAGCCAUAUUUCUUGAUAUUGCAUGUUUCUAUAUUGGGAUGGAUAAAGAUUAUGUGAUGACAAUACUAGAUGGUUGUGGAUUCUUUCCAGAAAUUGGUAUGAAAGUUCUUCUUGAAAGGUCUCUUAUAGCAAUUAACCCAUUUAAUAAGCUAGAAAUGCAUAACCUACUCCGAGACAUGGGAAGAGAGAUUGUUCAUGAAGUAUCACCAUCUCACCCAGGAUAUCGCAGCAGGCUUUGGUUUCACCAGGAUGUAGUAAAUGUAUUAACGAAACACAUGGUAAAAUGUUAAAUGCAUUUCGUAAAUAAAUCUAAAAAUGUGCUAUACUUAACUAGAAUUAAUAAUAUUCUUUAUUUGUAUUUAGGGGACGGAAGCUGUGGAAGGUCUCAGCUUAGGUGUGCCAGCACUAGAAGAUGAUCUUAUAAGCACCAAAGCAUUUGCGAGGAUGAUCAACUUAAGAUUGCUGAAAAUCGAUUCUGUACAUUUCACCGGUUCCUGUGAAAAAAUUUCAAAAGAAUUAAGAUGGCUCUGUUGGCGUCGAUGUCCACUACUAAUGGUUCUACCGCCCAAUCUUUAUCUAGACAACUUGGUUGUUCUUGACAUGCAAUACAGUAGUAUCAAAAAAGUUUGGAAGGAGACAAAAGUAAUUAAAAUCACUCUCACAAUGCUAUGUUUUUUCUUUUUAUUUUGAUAUUCUAGAUCUUUUUUUCCUUAGCGCAUAUUAUGGAUUUACUGUUAUUUUCUUUUUCUUAUUUCAACAGGCUCUUCACAAGCUUAAAAUACUAGAUCUGAGCUAUUCGUACCUUGGAAAGACACCAAACUUUGCAAAACUCUCAAGCCUACGAAGACUUGAACUUGAAGGUUGCACAGGUUUAGUUGAGGUUGAUCAAUCUAUUGGACAUCUGGAAAAACUUGAAUUCUUGAAUUUGGCAGAGUGCAAGAACAUAAGUGAACUUCCAGACAGCAUUUGCAACUUAAGGUCUCUUGAGACAGUGAACCUCAAUGGUUGCUCAAAACUUUGUCGUUUGCCAGAGCAUUUGGGUAAAUUGGAAGCUUUGAGAAAGCUUGUUUUAAGUGGAUCUGCUAUUACAGAGUUGCCUACUUCGAUCGGACUUUUGAAGAACCUUGAAGAUCUAUCUUUGGCUGGACUUAGAAAAGAGUUACCUUCUAAGUCUUGGUUCUCAUACUUUUCCUCAUGGAUCUCACCAAAAAGUAGUGUGGGUUCUUCUUCUUUACUGCUACCAGCAACGUUCUCUCAGUUAAGCUCAUUAAGAAAGCUUAAUCUUUGUGACCUCAACUUGUCUGACCAUGAAAUUUCCAUUGACUUUGGGAGUUUCCAUUUUUUGUGGAGUUUGGAUUUACAAGGAAACAACUUCUGUAACCUACCCGCAGGAAUCAGCAACCAUCCAAGGUUAGAGAGACUUGUAUUGAAUAACUGCAAAAACCUUAGAUCCAUCACGGAGCUUCCUAAAAAUUUAACGGCCUUAUACGCAAAGCAAUGCACAUCAAUUGAGAGAUACCCAAACUUAUCAAACAUAGGUAGAAAACUUCUUAGAAUCGCAAUUAGUAAUUGUCGCGAAGUAGCUGACAUUCAAGGUUGGGAUUUUCGCUCAUUUCAGAAAUUGUCUUCUUCUUGGCCUAUUGGACGAGAUCUUAACCAGCCAGAGGUCUUUCUCUAUCUCUCUCUGUAUACAUAUAAUAUAUAUUAUCAUGCAUGAUAAUGUUCAUAACUACUAGUAUUUCUUUGAAACAGAAGUCGUUGUAUUCCAAGUUUAAGUAUUUGGAAGCCUACUUCCCAGCGAGAGAGCUGCCAGAUUGGUUCGACUAUAAAGAAAUUGGAUCUUCGAUACUGUUUUGUAUGCCUUCAAUCCCGAUUGGUUUAGAUCGAGGUAUGAUUGUGUGCGCAAUCUAUUCGGUCAAUGAAGAAUGCAAUGACGAAAGCACUUCUACAGCUUCUCUUACCAUAUAUUUUAAGAAUAAAACAAAGGGCUGUGAGACUUUUGAUAGGUCACAUGGUUCCCUCGAUGGGAAUAUAUUGCAAGAUCACGCGUGGGUGAGUUACAUGGCACCUAGUUUGAACGAUGAUGUAAAAUCUUUUAUCGACGAUGUAAACGCUGAAGAAGGAGAUGAAAUUGAAGUUUCAAUUGAGCCGCAUGGUGGAAUUCUUGUGAAGAAAUGUGGUAUUCAUCUGCGAAUUCAUGGGUAGAUGAGGGUAAGUUUUAAGAGCCUUCAUUGAUUUAUUUUAUUUAUUGUUGAGACCAAAUUAAUUUUAUUAGUUGUCAAUAUCAUAAUAGGGAAAUAUUUUCAGAAAUAAAUUACAUCUUAAAGAUUCAUUUGCAUGAUUAUUGAGAAAUCACUGAUUGAAUGAUUGUUUAAUUAUAUAUAUUGAAAAAAAAAGUUAGAAAUAUUGAUAUCAAAAUUAUUGUACAAAUAUUUUUAAAAUAUGAAGUCACAUUAAAAAUAAAUGUAAAAUUUAUAACAAUUGUGAGUGAAUAUGAAAAUUUUAAUUUUUUUUAGCAUCAUCUUAUUUUUAUUUUAUUUUUAAUUUAAUAUAUUUCAAUUAAACUAAUAAAAUUUCUAACUACGUUGCUAAUAACGAAUUCCUUGUAAGCCAACCACCUAGCCAAAAUCAAACUAUUCCAAUAUUGAUACAGAACAAAGAAGAUUGUUGAAGAUUUUUUUUUUUUACAGUCUAUAAAUAUGUAAUUAUGUUUAAGGUUAAAAGUAUUAUUUUAUAAGACAUCGAUAAAUUAUUAUUAUACAUGAAAUCAUGUUUCUAUUAAAAAAUCAACUACUAUUUAUUAAUUUAUCAUUUUUAAAAUGAUUAUCAAAUACAAUAUAAAUCUAAUAAAAUUAAUUUCAAAAGGCAAUAAUUAAUGCAACAAUAUAAUUUAUUCACUCCAUACCAAAUUGAAAAUAUAUAAAACCAAAAUAUCAGCUUAAUUUUUUCCACUAUUUAGAAUUAAAAAUAUAUAAUUAUAUGUUUUCAUUUAGUUAUUGAUUUUCUUGUAUUAAAUUUAGAAUUUAAAUCUUUGCAAAUGAGUAUAAAAUUUUCUUUAUAGCAUGCUUUAAGACAAUUGCAAUAUUCAUUACCAUCCAAUGUACAUUACACCUUUUAUUUGAAAUAUUCAAACUUGCCACUGACGAUCAUUGACCAUAUUAUUCCCACUAACAAUCUCUUCCAUAUAGCAAUAAUUUUGUGGUUUCUAUAGUUUCAUAUAAUAAAUUUUUUAAUUUAAAAUUUUAAGUUUUGAUUAUAAAAAUAUGAAAUAUGCAGUAAAAAAUUAAAGAAUUUUAAAAUAUUGCUUGUAAAAAAGUAAAAAAAUUAUAAAAAAAAAGUUGAUUUUAAGUGAAAUAAAUUUCAAUUAUUUAGACUCAAAUAUUAUUUAAUUUUAUUUAAAUAUUAUUAUUAAAUGAGAUAUGAUAAUAUAUAUAUAUAUAUCUUUACUUAAACUUUCUUAGGUAACUACAUGUUGGUCUACCAUAUUUAUUUUCCUCAUUUUAUAUUGAAUUUUUAUAUUUUUAUAUUAAAUUUACUAAUUAUAUUAUAAUUGCAUUUUCAUAUAUAUAUAAUUGCAUAAAUUAAUUUAAAUAAUAUCCAAAUUCAAAAAAAUCCACGAUGCAAAAAUAAUUUUAAUUUUUUCCUACGGACGCAAAGCCCGUUGAUACGGCCCAAUUUGACGCAACUUGACGCUUCUUCCAUUGACUCCCUUUCCAAAAACCUUUUCUCUACUAAACGAUAAAGCACCUUUCAAAAUGGAGACAACCGCACCAUCCACAACCGGAGGCGGUGGCGGCGGAGGAAGGCCUGCACCUUUCCUCCUAAAGACAUACGACAUGGUAGAGGACUCAUUGACCGACGAGAUCGUGUCAUGGAGCUCCAGCAAAAACAGCUUCGUCGUUUGGAACCCUCCUGAAUUUGCCCGCCUUUUGUUUCCUACCUAUUUCAAGCACAAUAACUUCUCCAGCUUCGUCAGGCAGCUUAAUACCUAUGUGGGUUUCUCUUCUUUUUGCUUUUUUUAAAGGAUUUCCUUUCAGGGUUCUUUUAUUCAUUUAACUUGAUUGAAUUCUUUGAUAAUUAUGGGAAAUUAUGGGUUUUUAUUUACCGUUUAACUGCAUUUCUUCAUGGGUUUUAAUUUGUAACUGUAACAAUUUUGAUUUAAAGCUGAUUAUGAUAUCUUGGCCUGGAGCCGGCACAAAAAUUUAAGGUCGACCAAUGUCUUCUGUUGUCAUUUAUAAGGUGAUUUCUAUGAGGGGUGGGUCGUUUUCUUGGUCAAUGAACUAUGGAGGUGAAUCAACCUUGUACAGAAACAUGGGGGUUGUAAUUAGUCUUUUCUAAUUUGGAUUUAGGAAUCUUCUGCGUAAUUGUUUCAGAUUUUCAUUUUUCUUUAUUGUGCAUUUCUUCUAUGAAUAACAGAAACUUUUGAUCUUUUCUGGUGAAGAGAAUUGAUUCUUCAUUGAAUCGGAGCUUAGCUCAGUUGGUUCAUGCAGCUACUUUAUGAGUUGGCAUCCGGUAGGUCUAGGAUUCAAAUCCCAAUAUCGCAACCAUUUCCCCUAUCUCUAGGUUUUGGCCUCUUUGUAUAAAAAAAUUUGAUCCGUCACUAAGGUAUCACUUGCAUGUUUAUCUUCGAUUCAUAGGCUGUUCAUAUGAAUGUUACCAGUAGCUUUCUAUUACCUUUAGUUUGAUUAGGUUAGAUAUAUGAGGAUUGGAGUGGUUAAGCAUGAUCUGAGUGCAUACGAAUGUAAUUUGGCAACAGGGGUUCCCCGUAGAAAACCUAUAUACAGCCACAGUAAUCCUCAUGGUUCUAUGAUAGAUCCGGAAAGAGCUGGAUUUGAAGAAGAAAUAGAAAAGCUUUCAAGUGCACUUGAGGCUAAUGUUUUGAGGUUUAGACAAGAGCAAUCAGCUGCAAAGCAUCAAUUGGAAGAACUGACACUGUGAGCUGAUCAAAUGGAGCGGAGGCAGGACACUUUGUUUGAUUUCUUACAAAAGGCUGUUCCAGACCCUACUUUUGUUGAACAUCUUGUUCAUAAGAUUGAAUCUAUGGAUGUUGCAGCAUACAAUAAGAAAAGACGAUUGCCUUAUAUUGAUCAAACCAAGCCAGUUGGAGAAAAUAGUCUUUUGGAGAACAACAGUAGUUCUGGACCUCAGAUAGGAAAUAUUUUCCACCAAAGUUUCUCAAACAAGCUAAGACUAGAAUUGUCACCUGCUGUUUCAGAUAUUAACUUGGUUUCUAAUGGCACACAAAGUUCUAAUGAAGAUAGAGCAAGUCCACAGAGAAGGGUCUCUGAAGGAGAACCAAAGGAUGCUCAGACCAGAUCAGAGGGCCUUUUAUUCACACCUGAAACGUUAGACCUUUCAGAUACGGGUGCAUCUUUUACAUUCAAAAUGGAUUCAUCUUUCACUCAAAGAGAAAAAUUAAUGAAAUCCCAACAGUACAUUCCCUGCAACAGAGAUUAAAUUCCAAUGAAGAACCUGAUAGUCCUAUUUCCUGUCAAUUAAAUCUAACUCUGGCAUCUUCAUUACAAGUCAAUAGAAGUCCUAGCUUAACUAUGAUGUCCCAACUACGUCGGUAAAUUGGAAAAGUCCCAGAGUUAGGAUUUGAUGCCAACACUAAAGACUCUGAUACUAGAGCUUCUGGGAACACCAGAAACAUGAUUGAUGAGGAAGCAACAUUUUCUUCACCAAAAGAAGGCCCUAAUACAAAUCAAGAGCCUACGGCUGCUCCAGUUAGGGCGAAUGAUGUAUUUUGGGAACAGUUCCUUACAGAAAGACCAGGCUCCUCUGACAAUGAAGAGGCCAGUUCUAAUUAUCAAGCAAACCCAUACAAAGAGCAAGAAGACAGAAGAGCAACAGGCACUUGUCUUGAGAAACUGAAGUAACCUGCUUUUCUUUUUCCUGUAACAAAACUGAAGUCUCUUCCUACUGUUGCAUUUCAUUUCUUAAUUUUCCUAAGUUUUCAGUAACUAGAACUUUCAUUUUUGGCAAAUUGAAGUAGAAUUGAUGUGUCUGUCUUGAGAUGUUCGUCUGACAUUUCAUCUCAUACAUUUUGUAGGUUGUUUGUUGUUACAUCAGUCUUGAGAUAUCAUAGUUUCCCUUUCGACCAAUUGAUUUGUAGAUUAUUCAUUAGUUGGUGCAGUGAACAUUAUGCAUGAUACAAGAUCUUAAAUCUUUUGAGAAAGUAGGAUUCAUCUGAAAAUUACAUUAGCAUAAUACAGUGAUAAUGUGAUAGGUAAAAUAAAAAAUUGGAAAACUAACUUUGCUUAUGUGGUUGUUAGAGUUAGAGUAAAAGGGUCAACUGAGUGUUACAUUCAAGCAUUACUUCAUCUACCUUCAGGCUUUCUGGAGAAUAUGAAUACAUAGAGUUAGUUAUUGUGAAAUGAUUAGACAACCCAAGUGCACAGAUAUGCUUUUGUUCUUCCAUGGCAUUGGAAAAAUAUUCAACUUAGGCAACAAAUGCUGCUCUGGUAAACAACCACCAAAAGGAAAUUUUAAUUUCCCUAUGGUUUUAUUGUUAAUCUUCCAUGCUUUUAUUGGAAAGGGUUGUAGCUUCCAAUCCAACUUGGACUAAAAAUGAUGUUUGUGGCUACUGAGAUGUUUCAAAAGGAAGAAAGCAGGCUGCAACAAGUAGGUUACCAUUGGGAUAUAUCAAGUGCUGCAUGGAUAGCCGCCCAGUUGUUGCAUAGCUCCAACAAGCCUAAUUGCCAGCUCCUAGUCUUGUUAAUUUCCACUUUUAUCAUGUGUUCAAAUUAGAGCCGAUAAAUUUGACUUGAACUUGAAAAUUCCAUUGGAAUCCAAUCCUGAUCUAAUCUGAGUUGAUGAGGAAAAAAAAUAACAUUUGAGCUCAUUCAGGGAAAUUUUUUAAAUAUAGUGAAGUUCAAGAAUUAUUUUAUUAAAAUUGAUUUAGUAAAAAAUUUAAAUCGAUAAAUUAAUAUUCAAAAAAACCCUUAAUACUAUAUAAAAGAAUUUAUUAAAAAUAUUAUUUAUAAUUAAAAUUUGAUCAUAGAUUAUUUAAUGAUAAAAAUUAGUCAAAAUUUUCAUUAAAAAUACUUAUCUAAAAAAUAUAUAAAUUUUUUUUUCAAAAUUUGCAUGCUUGAUUUGUAUAAUAAAAUAUUUUAAUUUAUUAUAUUUGAUUUUCAAUUUUAAUUAUUAUUUAAUUGAUUUUAAUAAAAAAUUUUAUAAAUUUCAUUUAAAAAACAUAAUGUAAGUUUUUCUCAAUUCAUUUAGCCCAAACAUGAAUGAUUUAAAAGAACUCAAAAUUUAAAUUGAUCUAACCUAAUUUGAUAUAAUCUCAUUCAAUCUAAACUUAAAUUAUUCGAAACAAACUGAACUUAAAAUUGAUAUAAUCCAAAGUCAAAAUUAUCAAAACUUAUAAAGACAUGAAUUUCUUUGAUCAUAAAGUGACCUAACCCAACCCGUCAAAUUUCUAACAACUUAAAGUUAACAUUACAUUUACAACUCAGCUUGAAUAUAAGUCAAACCAACUGGAGUCUCCCACUAGUUUAUAAGCAAUUAUUAAGUGUUUUCUUCUGUUCGGUUAUUUGUCUAGUGAAAGACUACAGUUUAGAGUGGGAAAAGGAAAGAUUUUAUUACAGUUUCCAUGAAAAAUUGUGAGGAAAAUCAAUUAUGACAUAAUAAGCCCUAGUAAUACUAAAAUCCUUGGCAAGCAAGAAAGCCAUUACUCUAUUUGCUGACAGUAAAACAAAUAACAGUCUAGAAAACCAGUUUACAGCUAUGAAGAAGAUACGGACAAACAAUACGAGUAUAAGAUGAUAUGAACACAAUUAUAUAGUAAUUUUUUAAAAAUAAAGAUAUAGAUAUAUUAAGGUACGGUAAUAAAUUUUUUUAUAUAUAUUAUAAUCAUUAAUUAAAAAUAUAUAAUAGAUUUUGAGCUAAUUUUCAAAAGGUAAUUACUUUUGCAUAAAAAAAGGAUGGUAGACACAAAAAUAAAAGAAAAUAAAGUGUAAAUACCUACACAUGGAUUAUUUAUUUAUUUAUUUAUUUUCUUUAUCUGGCCAAGUUUAAUGCUAUUUCAGUGUAUCAAAAACGUCGAAGUAUUUAACACAGAUUCGAUAAGGAUGUGGAAGGGGUCACAGGUUUACCAAUUAUCAAUAUUUUAACAUUGAUGGAAUGUCAACUAGUACUAUUGGAACUUGAGAUUUUCCUAAGUAAUCCAUAACACUCUUAAAUCAAUUUUAGUUACAGAAGACAUGUGUUCAAUUUUAGAAGUCUCAAAUGGGUUAGAUAGUUCAUGAUAUGAUAUAAUUUGGUACCGUAUUGAUCGUACUUGACAUAAUUUAUUGUGGGUCAUGUCAAGCACAAUUCAUAUACAUGUAUUGUAUUCAGCUAGAGAUUUAGGUUCAUUAGUUGACACAACAUGACUCAUUAGGGGUUAGUGUCAGCAUAUGACAUAGGGAUUGGUACAGUAUGAUACACAAUAAUUAGUAUGUCGUGUUGCACAGAUUCAUAAAUAUUAUGAAUGAGUUUAAUAUAUUAAUCCUUACUUGUAUUUUAUUUUAUUCUUAUCAUACGAUAGACGUUCUUUUAUCCAAUACUCUACAUUAACAAUUUAUAAAAAUUAAAUUGUAUCAAUAAAUUUCCUUAUAAAAUUUUAAACUAUUAAUAGAUAAAAAUUAUCAGUUUUUCAUUUUGAAUUAUCAUUUUCUAAAAACAUGAACUAUAAAAUGCAUAUUAUUUAAAAAUUGAUUAUAAAAAAACAAAAAAUAAUUAAAAAAAACACAUAAUAUAAAUGAACCAUCAUAUGGUGAAAAUGAAAAAUAAAAUAAUAAUAUGAUAUCCAUUUUUUAAUUUAAAGAAGUAAUAUUAAUAUUUGUUAAUUUUAACAUAUUUGAUGAUUUUUUUUACCUUUUAUUGGUAAACAUAGAUAUUUUAUCGAAUCAUAUGAAUUAUAUGCCUCAUGUAUUAAUUUCAUAUAUUAAUUUUUAAAGAUAAUUUGAAAAAAAAAAAAAAAUCCUCAAAAAAUGAUACAAAAAUUAAGAAACUAUUAAUAGAUCGUACUUGACCGAUAUGACACGAAAAAUAGUGUCAUGUUAUAUCAGCUUGACCCAUAAAGGCUAAAAAUCAUAUGUCGUGUUGGACCAUACUCUUAAUUUUCAUGAGCCAUGUUAACUUGGCACGUUAAAUAAUAGUGUUGGCUAACACAACCCAUUUAUACACACGGGCUAUUUUUUUAAUGGAUUGUGCUAGCCCAACACAACUCAUUUGAUACCUCUAUUUAGUGUAAAUUCAAGUGCCACAAUUAAUCAAAUAUGCCUUAACUUGCAAAUUAAGAUUUAUGGAACUCAAAUCAAAGAAUGUCAACUAGGAAGUAUUGGUGGGAUAUUGACACAAAUCCUAAAGGAUUUGGUAAGAGAAAUUUUUUAAAUUAAUUAGAUAUGACUUAGCUAAGAAGAAGACUUAUAAUAGAAGAAUUUUAUAAGGAAAGAAACUUUUGGUAGGUAAAUUAGUAGCCUUAUAAAUAAUAGGAAUCUCAGUAAAAUUAGGUAUAAAAUAAAGAUGUAUGAGAAUUAUAAGAUUUUAUCGAGAGAGAAACAUAUAAGAUUAAAAGAGAUUAAGAGGAUACUUAUAAGUGUGUAUAUUUGAAUAUUGAAUGUGUGAUAUUCCAAAAGGCUAGAUGAAAAAAAGAGGAUCCAUGAGCAUGAUGAUUGUUAUGUUUGUGAAUAAAUUAGAUGAGAAUGAGAGAAUCCGCAUAAAUAUGUAUGUGUUUUAUUUGGGAUAGUUAGAGAUUAAUUUGGAAGUAUUAAAUAUCAAUUUGGGAUGUUUAAAGAUUGGCUUGGGAUUGAGAUUGUAUGAUUAUAAUUUUUUAUAACUAAUGAAUUUUCAUUCCGCCUAUGAAUUUCUUGGAUCAGACAAAAUGAUUUAAUGAACCUUUUUUUUGUUCGGUUCCUAGUCAUAGUAACAGCCCCCCCAAAAAAUAUAUUAAUAUGAAUACUAACGAUUAGUAACGAUCCUUACAGUGUAAUAUCAGAUGAAUGUACUAAGUUUCCAAAAACCAUUUUCUCCAUUGCAUAUUUUUGUUUCACUUUCCAUGGCUGCCAAAGGUUUCUCUUAAGCAUCUUCUUCAAUUUUUUUUAUUUCUUUUUUAAAGCAAAUUCUAAUAAAAAAAAUAGGCAAAUGAAAAUUGUCUAUCAAUGAUAUCUGUAAUUUAUAAAGUAAUAUAAAUUAAUUUGAAUUUAAGUUUAUUUAUUUUCUUAUUUAUGUAUGAAGAUAUAAAUAUAUAUAAAGUACAAUAUUAAUUAAAAAAAGAAAAGUAGUCUUUUAAAGAGCUAAUUAUUUGACACUCACCAAGCAAUUAUUAAUAUUAUAAUUUUUUCAAUUUUUUUAUAAAAUAUUUUUCAAAAAGUAUUUAUAUCAAUUUUUUAAAAAUUUUUUGGUAAUUUUUUACCCGAAAACUUUUUUUUUAUCUAGAAGCUUAUUUAAAUAGUUUAGUUUUACCUUUAUUUUUAGUUAGUAUAAAAAAAAUUAUUAAACAUCCAAUCAUAAGAUGACAAAUGUCAUCCAAUUGGAUACUUUAUGAAUAGUUAUAAAUUUAGAGACUACUUUUUUUUUAGAGGCACGAGGUUCUUGGAUUUUACCAAGUACAUCUUUCUCUAGAUCGAUUUUAAAUAGGUUUAUUUAUGUUGGGUCUAAUAAAUUUAUGAGAAUUUAUCUUUCCAUAGCCUUUUAAUGGAUUUGAACUUAGGUAACAAAGAGAAAACACACUUUGUUUGCCAUUUAAAUUGGCCAUUUGUUAAUAGAAUUGGGAACUACUUUAAAUAAUAAUAAUAGAUUUAUUAAAUUUUAAAAUAAAAUUUAAUUGAAGGGUAAUUAUAAAGUAACAAGUGUCAUACAAUGGAAACUUCAAUUGAACAAUUAUUUACUGUUUUAAUUAGGGGAUAACUUUUACAUUAUGAUAUAGAUUUUAGAAUAUAUAAAAUAACAAUAUUUGUAAAUAUUGCUCAACACUAAAUGGAGUUCAAAUUUUUGAAAUUUAAGAUAGUGUCGAGUCUUGUAAUUAGUAACUUUUACACUUUAUGGAAAAUCAAAUAUUAAAAUUUAAAAGAUUAUCUCUAUAUGUGGUUGACAAUGAUAAGCUCUUGUUUUAAUAAUAAAAGUCAGGUUUUAAAAUUUAUAAAUUUAAGUUCAAAUCGUACCACAUAUUCAUUUAAUUUUAUUUCAUAUUGGUUUUGCUUAUUAAUUUAUUUUUUAUAUAGAAUAGUCAUAAUUAUAGAGGAAGAGUUCGAAAUCAAGAUUUCUAAGUUAUUCCAAAAAUUCUUUAAUCACUAAAUUAAGAAAUUCUUUAAUCACUAAAUUAAGAAGUUAAGGAUAAAAUAUUAUAUAAUAUAUUAUUUAAAUUCAAACAAAAUAUUACACAUACUUUGUAAUAAUAAUGUUAAUGUUUAUGUAAUCAGAUAAUAUAUAUAAGGGAGGAAUCAACUUACACUAGUGAUUUUUAUAUUACACAAAAUAUUAUACAUACUUUUUUUUAAUAAUUGAUUUCUAUAGAUCUAAGGGAUGAGAGACAUAAGUGCAAAAAAAGUUUAAUCUCAUCCCUUAAAUAUAUUUAUUGAAAUCAAUAGUCAAAAAAAUAUAUAAAUUUUUUUUGGUGUAACUUAGUUCUUCUCCAUGUAUAUAUAUAAAUAUAAAUAAAUAAAUAUAUGUAUAAUUGGUGGUCUACGCUUUAUAAAUGCUAAACCAACAAUAACAUAGAUAUGUAGUGAUAUCACGAUUUUAACAUCUUAAACAAAAACUUUUAAAUUAAUUGAAUAUUUUUCGUAAGAAAAAAAAAAGAAUAUUUUUCAACCUUAUGCAUUUUAAGAUAAGAAAUACAUUACAUACAUACAUAUAUAUAUAUAUAUAUAUAUAUCCUUUUAACAAAAAUUCAAAAAUAUAAAAAACUUAAAUUUGUAUUUACCAGACCUUGUAAUAGACUAUAAUUCAUUGAUACAUAAAUAGAUCCCGAUACAUAUAUAUAAUAUAAUUAUAUAUUAUUAGUAAAAAACUUAUAUAUUAUUAGUAAUAUAUAGGUAUUUUUAGUAAAAAAAACUUAAUAAAUUUUUUACUGUUAAAUAAGUAUUUAUCAAAUUUGAAUUAUAAAUAAUAUUUUUAAUAUUAUUGAUCUUCUUAAUGAAAUUUAAUUGUCAUUCGAUUUUUAUUUUUUAUUUUCAAUUUUAUUAAAUUAUUUUUAAUAAAAAAUUUCACAAAUUUCACUUAAAAACUUCACUAAAAAUUUUCAUAGCUUAAUAUUUCCUGCCACCAACAUCUUCUCCUUUGUUAUUUCUUCUAACAAAGUAACAAUACAAAAAACGUUUAAGGUCCACAUAAUUUAACUUUACCAUUGUCCAACUAAUAGUAUUUAAGGCUUUUUUCUAUGUAGUCAAAAGAAACUUUCAUAAAGGAGAAUAGAGUUGCCUUUAUCAUUGAAAUAAUAUUGAAGUCCACAUCACUAUGCACCCACUCCUCCUUCAAGUCAUUUCACAUUAAUUUCCAUUCCGAGUAUGAAUUUCUUGGUGGGUUCCUAGUCAUUAAUUUGAAUAGUCACGAUUAGUAAUGACCUUAUAUUUUAAUUUUCAGAUGGAUGCACUAAGUUUCCAAAAACCAUUUUCUCCAUUGCAAUUUUUUGUUUGACUUUCCAUGGCUGCCAAAGGUUUCUCUGAAGCAUCUUCUUCUGGCUUCAAAUGGAACCAUGAUGUCUUUCUAAGUUUCAGAGGCGAAGACACUCGGAAGAACUUCACGGAUCAUCUCUACGCAGCUCUGGUGAGAGAUGGAGUGGUUACCUUCAGAGAUGACGAUGAACUUCCCAGGGGAAAAGGCAUCUCCUCGGAGCUCCUCAAAGCAAUCGAAGAAUCAAAACUUUCUAUUGUGGUUUUCUCUAAAAACUAUGCUUCUUCCAGGUGGUGUCUUGAUGAGCUUGUCAAGAUUAUUGAGUGCAAAAACACAACAGGCCAGGUUGUUAUUCCAGUCUUCUACGAUGUUGAUCCAUCUGAUGUCCGGCAACAGAUCGGAAGUUAUGAAGAAGCUUUUGCUAAACAUGAAGAACGGUUUAAAGAUAAGAUGGAAAGGAUUAAAAAGUGGAGAGAAGCUCUUAUAGAAGCUGGAAAUUUAUCGGGUUGGAACCUUCGAAACAUGGCAAACGGGUAAUAUUCAAUUUUAAAGACGAAUCAUCCAAAAAAUUCUAAGAUAUAUAUAUAUAUAUAUAUAUAUAUAUACAUCUUCGUUUUUAAAUAAAAAAUUAAAUGAAACUAAUAUUAAUUGCUAGUUAGUGCUAUUAAAAUUAUUAUAUGCGCCUAAUUUUAAAUUAUUGUAGUCAAUUUAUAUCUAAGUGUAAAUUGAUUUUUUAUGUUUGAUGAUUUAAACCUUAAAAUUAAGAGUGGAAAUUCUACCCAAAAAAAAAAUGUCUAAUUUAUUUUUGUUGUAAAGUUGUUUGUUUCAAGUGUAUCAUGAGAAAAUAUUAUAUAUAUAAUUAUUGUAAUAUAAUUAAUCAAUUAUAAUUUAGUAUUAUGAAGUGUCCAUCAAAAAAUUAUUUAAACCUCAUUUUAUAUUUAAGUGAUGAACUCUUAAAUAAUUUUUUAUUAUAAUUGAUUAAUUGUAGUAUUGUAAUCAAGAGAAUUAUAAAAAUUAAAUAAGCAAAAGUGGGUGUUUACUUAGAAUCAAAAUUUCUUAUGUUUUUCUUGUUUCUUUCAUUACAAAUGAUUUCAUAGGUAUGAAUCGAGAUUUAUUCAAGAGGUUGUCAAAGAUGUUAUCAAAAAAUUAAAUCGCAAUAUUCGCAAUCGCUUGCACGUCACCACUCACCCGGUAGCUUUAGAAUCACGUGUUGAAAGGGUGAUGAAAUUAUUAAAUAUUGGAUCUGAAGAAGUUCGCGUAGUGGGCAUCUAUGGAAUGAGCGGAUAGGUAAGACCACCAUCGCUAAAGCUGUCUACAACAUGGUUUGCGAAGGAUUUGAAGGAUGCAGUUUCCUUUUAAAUAUUAAAGAUGACUCGCAGCAGCCUAAUGGUCUUGCUAGGAUGCAAGAGCAGCUCCUUUCUGAUAUCUUGAAUGGGAAAAAAUUCAGGAUAGAUAAUAUUGACAGGGGUGUCAAUUUAAUCAAGGAAAGGUUUUGUUGUCGAAGAGUUUUUAUAGUUCUUGAUGACUUGGAUGAGUCAGCACAAUGGAGACCAUUAGUUGGUCAUCGGAAGUGGUUCGGUCGAGGAAGUAGGAUUCUCGUCUCAACUAGAGAUGAACAUUUGCUGACUGAAUUAGAGGUGGAUGAAAGAUACAAGGUUGAACAAUUGUAUCAUAACGAAUCAAUUCAACUUUUAAGUUGGUUUGCAUUUAGGAGGCCUGCUCCAGAAAAAGAUUACUUCGAACUUUCCAACAGUUUGGUGGAGUAUGCUCAAGGACUUCCCUUAGCUCUUGAAAUUUGGGGUUCUUAUUUGUUUAAAAGAAGCAUACCAGAAUGGGAAAGUUUUGUGGAAAAAUUACAGAAGGUAGCUCACCAACAAAUUCAAAAGAAGCUUAGGAUAAGCUUUGACAGGCUAGAUGAUCAUUUAUUGAAAGCCAUGUUUCUUGAUAUUGCAUGUUUCUAUAUCGGGAUGGAUAAAGAUUAUGUGAUGACAAUGCUAGAUGGUUGUGGAUUCUUUCCAAAAAUUGGUAUGAAAGUUCUUCUUGAAAGGUCUCUCAUAGCAAUUGACCCAUAUAAUCAUAAGCUACAAAUGCAUAACCUACUCCGGGAUAUGGGAAGAGAGAUUGUUUAUGAAGUAUCACCAUUUCACCCAGGAUAUCGUAGCAGGCUUUGGUUUCACCAAGAUGUGGUAGAUGUAUUAACUAAACACAUGGUAAAAAGUUAAAUGCAUUUCGUAAAUAGAUCUAAAAAUGUACUAGAAUUCAUACCAAUACUAGAAUUCAUAAUAUACUUUAUUUCUAUUUAGGGGAUGGAACCGGUGGAAGGUCUCAGCUUAGAUGUACCAACACUAGAAGAUGAUAUUAUAAGCACUGAAGCAUUUGCAAAGAUGAUCAACUUAAGAUUGCUGAAAAUUGAUUCUGUACAUUUCACUGGUUCCUAUGAAAAAAUUUCAAAAGAAUUAAGAUGGCUCUGUUGGUGUAGAUGUCCACUAAUGGUUUUACCGCCCAAUCUUUAUCUAGACAACGUGGUUGUUCUUGACAUGCAAUACAGUAGUAUCAAAAAAGUUUGGAAGGAGACAAAAGUAAUUAAAAUCACUCUCACACUGCUAUGUUUUUUCUUUUUAUUUUGAUAUUCUAGAUCUUUUUUUCCUUAGCGCAUAUUAUGGAUUUACUGUUAUUUUCUUUUUCUUAUUUCAACAGGCUCUUCACAGGCUUAAAAUACUAGAUCUGAGCUAUUCGGUAUACCUUGGAGAGACACCAAACUUUGCAAAACUCUCAAGCCUACAAAGACUUGAACUUGAAGGUUUAGUUGAAGUUGAUCAGUCUAUUGGACAUCUGGAAAAACUUGAAUUCUUGAAUUUGGCAAAGUGCAAGAACAUAAGUGAACUUCCAGACAGCAUUUGCAACUUAAGGUCUCUGGAGACUAUGAACCUCAAUGGCUGCUCAAAACUUUGUAGUUUGCCAGAGCAUUUGGGUAAAUUGGAAGCUUUGAGAAAGCUUGUUUUAAGUGGAUCUGCUAUUACAGAGUUGCCUUCUUCGAUCGGACUUUUGAAGAACCUUGAAGAUCUAUCUUUGGCUGGACUUAGAAAAGAGUUACCUUCUAAGUCUUGGUUCUCAUACUUUUCCUCAUGGAUCUCACCAAAACGUAGUGUGGGUUCUUCUUCUUUACUGCUACCAGCAACGUUCUCUCAGUUAAGCUCAUUAAGAGAGCUUAAUCUUGGUGGCCUCAACUUGUCUGACCAUGAAAUUUCCAUUGACUUUGGGAGUUUCCAUUUUUUGCGGAGAUUGGAUUUACGGGGAAACAACUUCUGUAACGUACCCGCAGGAAUCAGCAACCAUCCAUGGUUAGACAGACUUAUAUUGAAUAACUGCAAAAACCUUCGAUCCAUUACAGAGCUUCCUAAAAAUUUAAAGGAAUUAUACGCAGAGCAAUGCACAUCAAUUGAGAGAUACC